CAUCCCGGGGGUACCUAACGUAGCUGCGUCAGGACGUGUGGGCAUUUUUGUUUCGUGCCACACGCGCGGGGUGGAGAUAAAUAGUACUUGUUGGGCGUGUGGCACGAAGUAGCCUCGCCCGCACGUGUGGGCAAUUCUAAGAGCAUCUCCAACAGCCGCCCAAUGUGUGGCGCCCAAAAAACGGGUUUACAGCGCGCACGUAAAAUUUUUUGGGGCGCUAGAAGACGUUUGCUCCAACAAGCGCUGUAAAAUAUGCUGCGCGCGCGAGUCCAGCGGUCCCAAUCCAAACGGUCCCAUCUGCAGCAGCCCAGAGUUUGCAGCGCGCGCAACCGGGCGCACUAAAUAUGCUGCGCGCGAUGCGUUUUUAAUGCGCGCGCUGCAUCAGUUAUAGCGCGCGCGCGCUUUUUAUGCGGCCGCUGGAGACUUUAAAUCGAGCCCGCGCGCGCUAAAAGCAACUUUUAUACCGCGCGGCGCUUAUAUAGCGCUUCUGUUGGAGAUGCUCUAAUGUCCGCCCACACACAACCCGUGUGGGCUGCCUCCUGCUCACACCACACGUGGUGUGUGUGCACAUGUCGAAUAUACCACACGUAUGACAGUUAUCGUCGUCCAUAAUUUAAGAGGUCUGGGUGUGGAUGCUCUAAGCGUCGACAAAUAGGCCAUGAGCCCACGGGAGAGUAGUACUGACUUCGUUCCGUUGACUUUUUACGCAUUUUAUAUUUGCGGCGUAGCAGCCUAACACACUUGCCGCUGACCCGCGCAUACAUUCUCGCUAGGGUUUGACAUCUUUCCCCCAUGGCCACGCCACCUUACACAUCAGCCAUCGACCUGAUCCGAUGUGCUACUCAAAUCCAUGGCCACCGCGUGCACCGUAACAUUCUGCAUAUCGACGUGGAUGCACGGCGUUCUGCUCCUCCUACGGCUCUCCUAGUAUGAAAGUAUAUGUAGUAUGAAGUUGGCGAUAUUGGAUAGCGUUGACGACGUUGUUGGCCGUGGCCGAAAGGUGGCGGUGGAGACGAAAGGUAGCGAUACUGGAACAUUGUUACGUAGAGCUGUGGUUGGUGGUGAGAGAUAGCCUGUCGACACUAAUCAACUAGCGGGCGUUGAAAAUGACACGCAUGAAAUUAGCCAUACAAUUUGGCGUGUGGUCAAACAGGGAUGUUGUAGUUAUUUGCUGGCAAAUUUGACAAAUCUGACCUAUGGACGAAAUCAAAUCACAAAAUGAACUGUCCGGUAAACUAUUUCACACGUCUAACCCUUUUGUGUAGCGCCCGCCACGACGGCGCCACACUCACUGUGCAAGGCCUCGCAGAUAGGCGCUACACGGCCAGCGUCGUACCUGUGUACUCCGAAAAUUAGUAAAUCAGUGUGCAGCGCCUGAGAGCUAGGCGCCACACUAUACAGUGUAGCGCCUGGCUCCUAGGUGUUGCACUAGUGCAGCGCCUAGCUCGCCGGCGUUGCACUAGUGCAGCGCCUGGGAGCUAGGCGCCACGGGUCAGCGGCGUGAAAUAAUUUACCGGACAGUUCAUUUUAUGAUUUGAUUUCAUCUAUAGGUCAAAUAGGUCAAAUUUGCCUUAUUUGCUUGCUAGUUGUAGGUCGUGUCAUGGCCGGAUUGGUUNNNNNNNNNNNNNNNNNNNNNNNNNNNNNNNNNNNNNNNNNNNNNNNNNNNNNNNNNNNNNNNNNNNNNNNNNNNNNNNNNNNNNNNNNNNNNNNNNNNNNNNNNNNNNNNNNNNNNNNNNNNNNNNNNNNNNNNNNNNNNNNNNNNNNNNNNNNNNNNNNNNNNNNNNNNNNNNNNNNNNNNNNNNNNNNNNNNNNNNNNNNNNNNNNNNNNNNNNNNNNNNNNNNNNNNNNNNNNNNNNNNNNNNNNNNNNNNNNNNNNNNNNNNNNNNNNNNNNNNNNNNNNNNNNNNNNNNNNNNNNNNNNNNNNNNNNNNNNNNNNNNNNNNNNNNNNNNNNNNNNNNNNNNNNNNNNNNNNNNNNNNNNNNNNNNNNNNNNNNNNNNNNNNNNNNNNNNNNNNNNNNNNNNNNNNNNNNNNNNNNNNNNNNNNNNNNNNNNNNNNNNNNNNNNNNNNNNNNNNNNNNNNNNNNNNNNNNNNNUGUGCAAGGCCUCGCAGAUAGGCGCUACACGGCCAGCGUCGUACCUGUGUACUCCGAAAAUUAGUAAAUCAGUGUGCAGCGCCUGAGAGCUAGGCGCCACACUAUACAGUGUAGCGCCUGGCUCCUAGGUGUUGCACUAGUGCAGCGCCUAGCUCCCGGGCGUUGCACUAGUGCAGCGCCUAGCUCGCCGGCUAGGCGCUGCACUAGUGCAGCGCCUAGCUCGCCGGCGUUGCACUAGUGCAGCGCCUGGGAGCUAGGCGCCACGGGUCAGCGGCGUGAAAUAAUUUACCGGACAGUUCAUUUUAUGAUUUGAUUUCAUCUAUAGGUCAAAUAGGUCAAAUUUGCCUUAUUUGCUUGCUAGUUGUAGGUCGUGUCAUGGCCGGAUUGGUUGGCCGGCCGGGAGUACUGCCGGUGCCAAUGCAUGGUGUCCAGUCGAUUCCACGAUGCAUCCUUUACAAGAUUCAGCCGACUCUGCGCAGCAUUGAUCAUUCAGGCGUGACCGUGCGUGACACACCUGAGCCAGGGCACAGCACCUUUUGCAGUACAGUAGGCACUAUGUUUGUUCUGGAUCGAUGAAUAUGCUCUCUCAAUCGUCACUUGUUGCGUCUCACUACCAUCUAUACAUACUAUCAGUAUCAGGUGCACGUCACUACCUGAGCCAGGGGCAAAUUUAACAAAUUUGACCUAUAGACGAAAUCAAAUCACAGAAUGAACUGUCCGUUAAACUAUUUCACGCAGCUGACCCGUGGCGCCUAGCUCUCAGGCGCUGCACUAGUGCAACGCCUGGGAGCUAGGCGAUGCACUAGUGCAACGCCUAGGAGCUAGGCGCUACACUGUAUAGUGUGGCGCAUAGCUCUCAGGCGCUGCACACUGAUUUAGUAAUUUUCGGAUUACACGGAUAUGACGCUGGCCGUGUAACGCUUAUAUGUGAGGCGUUGCACAGUGUAGUGUGGCGCCUUCGUGGCGGGCGUCACACAAAAAGGUCAGCCGCGUGAAAUAGUUUCACGAACAGUUCAUUCUGUGAUUUGAUUUCGCCAUAGGUCAAAUUUAUCAAAUUUGCCUGAGCCAGGGCACAUCAUCUUUUGUACUACUCGCCUACUGUGUUUGACCCACUACAUUAUGAAACCGAUAGAGUAUCAUGAAAAAUAGAGGCAAAUAGGCCACGAGCCCACGGUAAAUCGUACAGCUGUGUUCGCGCCGUUGACGUACGGCCUAACGCACCCGCGCGUUGACACUACGACACAUGGACCACAUGGUAGGCUAUAUAAUCCAUGGCGGCCGCGUGUGCACCUAUUGUUAGAGCAUCGACGACGUACGUGGAUGCAUGCAUGCAUGGCGCCGCGCUCCACCCAAGCCCCCUUGCUUCUGCUUCUGCUUGUGCUUGCACAGCUCUCGGCCGGUGUGGCGUCGUCGUUCUCCGGCCACAGCUACCACAGCUUCCCGGUGUUCGACGGCAUGUCCAUCACCGACGGCGUCGUGGUGGCCACAAACUCGUCCAAGCUGUCGCCGGCCACGUUCCUCUUCGACGCGCAACUCUUCCCGGAGUUCAACCAGACCGAGGGCUUCGUGCUCCUCUCGCGCUCUGGCGCGUCGCCGCCGACGCUGACGGCGUCCGCGAGGAGGCGUCCUUCAUCACAACGGCGGCGGCUCUUACGCCGUCUCGUUCGUGGUGCUCCUCGACAGCUUCCCCCCGCUCAACGUCAGGAACGAGAAGCACGGGCCCCGCGGCGGUACGAACGACACGGCCCUGCCCGUCGCCGCCGCUGCAGUGCCGAACGCCACCAACGGCAUCGCCGCCGUUGAGGUCGGCUCAGUGAGCUCUUACGGGCCGCGGGCGCCGCCGGGCGUCGGCCUGAACGUCACCAUCACGCCCAACCGUUCGUCCUCCGGCGCCGGCACCAGCCGGCUCGCCGUGCGGAUCGCGUACGACGCCGCCAUGCACCGUCUCUCAGUCUACGCCCACGACACGGCCGCCGGCGACCCGCCCGUCAACGACACAGCCGCCCUCCUCCUCGACGCGCCGCUCGACCUCGCAGACCGCCUGCCCGCCCAGGCCGCGCUGGUGGGGUUCUACGCCUCCACGGUCCGGGACCUCGUCUUGGGCGUCCAUGACUGGGAGCUGACAGUGGACGGACUCCCCGACGACGACGGUGACAGGACACGGCGUGAACAGGACGAUCAGAGGAGGUCGUCAUCGUCAUCAUGGCUGAUGAUACUGCACGCCGUGCUCGGGUGCGUGGCGGCGAUCGCCGUCGUCGUGGUCUCCGUGAUUGUGUACCACGUCGUGGCCAGGCGCCGGGCGGUGGACAUGGAGGUGCAGCAAUGCUACAAAGACUAUUUCGCGAGGAUGAGGCGCUGAUGGAGUGGCGACCUACCACUCGGCUGACUUUCGGCGAGUGGUUGGUGCGCUUGCCACAGCCCACAAGACGAGGUCGAGAUCUCGAUGUCGACAUGGACGCCGUUCAUGUUCAGUUGAGAGCCCGAGAGGAGAGACCGGCACGAGACAUGACGACACAACCUGAGUUGGACGACAGAGUGUGUGUGAAAGGAUCGAGUUGCAUAUGUAUAUAGUAUGAGUAGAUAUGUACGUAUAUAUAUGUAAUGCUAUAUCNNNNNNNNNNNNNNNNNNNNNNNNNNNNNNNNNNNNNNNNNNNNNNNNNNNNNNNNNNNNNNNNNNNNNNNNNNNNNNNNNNNNNNNNNNNNNNNNNNNNNNNNNNNNNNNNNNNNNNNNNNNNNNNNNNNNNNNNNNNNNNNNNNNNNNNNNNNNNNNNNNNNNNNNNNNNNNNNNNNNNNNNNNNNNNNNNNNNNNNNNNNNNNNNNNNNNNNNNNNNNNNNNNNNNNNNNNNNNNNNNNNNNNNNNNNNNNNNNNNNNNNNNNNNNNNNGCUGUUGCGCAUGGCGAACGGGCGGCGUCGUCGCGUGCAAGAGUGUCUGUCAGGCCUUCGGCACCGACGAGCUGUGUUGCCGUGCACCUACGAACAUGCUUGCCCCUUCUCGAACACCUUGCCGCCAUGCACCGCAGCCAGAUUUGACCGCGUGGCGUACGGGCGGUCAGAAAGCUAGCACCGUCGAGGAGCACACGCUCGCCGCCGUAGUCGACGGCCGCAUCUGCACGCACGCUCACGCUCGAAGGGGGAGGAUUUGCCGGUGAGCUCUGCCGUUGUCGAACUUGAUUUUGAGGCUGAAUCGAUGGCAGGCACAUGUAGAGUUGAAACCCGUCGGCCGGCACCCACAGCGGCGGCGGAGAGGAAGGUAGGGUUGGUGGCGGCGGUGAAGGGGCAGUACAUGGUGGUCCGGUGGGCGGCUCCGGUGGCAAGCGGAAGGAAGGCAGGGCUCCGGUCACGGGAGGAAACAAAACGGCUGGUGGUUGGGCGUCGCGGGCGAGUCGCUUGGCUUUACAACAGCCGCCCAAGUGUUGUAUAUUUGUAGCACUUGGUGCUUCAUUUUAGAGCUACCAAAUUUUCUUUUGCAAUUUUUUUAUGAUUGAGCUACUGUUGGAGAGGGUUUUUUGCCCUCAAAUAUCCUAAAAAGGCCUAGUGCCCUAAAUUAGGGAGAUGCUCUUUGGAGCUGCCACUCGCCGGUAGUGUCUUCCGAGGAGUGACAAAUUAUGACCCAGCUAGAAAUUCUGCUUCUGAGGUGACUUUUCUUUUAAAAAUGUGGGCAAAAGAUUUGUCACUUUCGUCGAUUAAGAAGAAGGUUUAGAGGUUUUCGUCCAUUGGCCGAAUUACAAUUCAUUACAUUACUGUCGCGGCACAUCGUUACUCAAAUACUUAGCUCGUGCCAGACACCAUAACUUUGAUACAUCUUUGGUUCUAGCAACAAGGACCCCUACCGACUUCAGCACCAUUUGCGCUGCUUACUUGGGAUUUCUGUGGGAGACGUUACUCCUGAACAGCCAGCUGCCCCUUGUACCACUUCAGAAUUUUCAUGAAGAUUAUACAUUGUUUUUUGCUAUUAAGCUUUGUUUUUUGAAAUCUGACUAGAUUGUCGGUACUCUAUAUUAUGAUGUGAACAAAUGUUAUUUUUUGAGUGAAUAUAAUUUAGUUGUCUCGUUGUAAAUUGUGCUGCAUUAAGAAAACAAGAGAGCAACUAGUUAACGAGCGCUCCUUUAGGAGGCUCACAACGAUCAGCGUCACUUGGCGUGCUCUCAGCCGCCCGCCACGUGCCGCGCUCUGAGCGCUCCCUUCGAAAUUUUUUUCUGCAUGCGUUUUCGGCUUUUUAAACUAUUUUUUACUGGGUUUUUUCGACGGUUUUCAACCGGUCUUCCUUAACUUUUGAAAAAAAAUCGAAAAAAAAGAAAUUUGCGCGAAUAAACGUGUUUUUUUCGUGAGAGGCACGGUUUUACUUUCGCGAUAGUCACGGCCGUGACUCUCGGAAACGAAAAAAAAACGCGUUUUCUGUUUUUUUUCUUCCGCGAGAGACACGGUUUUUCUUUCGAGAGAGACACGGUUGUGCUUUUGCGAGAGGCACGGCCGUGCCUCUCGGAAACGAAAAAAACGUGUUUUCCGUUUUUUUCCUUUCGAGAGAGGAACGGUUUUGCUUCCGCGAGAGUCACGGUUGUGCUUUCACGAGAGGCACGGCCGUGCCUCUCGGAAACAGAAAAAAAACGCGUUUUCUGUUUUUUUCUUUCACGAGAGGCACGGUUUUGCUUCCACGAGAGGCAUGGUUGUGCUUUCGCCAGAGGCACGGCCGUGCCUCCUCGGCAUGGAAAAAACCGUGUUUUCUCUUUUUUUUCCUUCCGCGAGAGACACGGUUUUGCUUCCGCAAGAGGCACGGUUGUGAUUUAGUGAAAGGCACGGGCGUGCCUCUCUCGGAAAAGAAAAAAAAACCGUGCUCCCGGUUCAGUUUUUUUGUCCGAUUUCUUUCAUGAAAAAAAAGUUUAUUAAAACCUAUCAAAAUGGGAUCUAGUUUUGAAGAUCUCGACGCCAGGAAUCCAACGGUGAAAACGGUUCAAGAUUUGGAUGCACGGUUUAAGAGAUAAACGUUUUGAAUAAACGAAUCUACGAAAAAAGGGAAAACUCCCAGGUUGCGACAAGUGGCGCACAUGCAGCGCGCCACUUAAUGCAACCUGGGAAGAUGGGAGUGAUCUUUGCAACGAGUACUCCUUAACUAAUGAUUUCGAGAAAACAAGCUGGACUAGAAAAUAGGCUAAUGGGUUGGACUAAAAAAAUUGGUAGGCUAAUGGGCAGGACCAAAAUAAAUAGCAAAUGGGUUGAACUGGACUAAAACUAUUGGGCCAAAACACUAAUUGGGUUGGUUACUACAUGGGCCACGUCGGCCUCCAUGUUAGAUCCACACAUAUGCCAUGUCAGGUCCACGUUGCUUUCUGGUCAUGUAAAUCGGUGACAGUUUGUUCCGUCACAGCCUAGUUUGGGCUGGGCGGGCCUGGGACAGAUCCAUGACGGCCAAGAACCGUCAUGGAAGGUACGAUGUUAAAUUAUGACACGAUAUACAUGACGGAUUUCAAGUCCCUCAUAGAUGGAUACGCAUGACAGUUUUUGGUUGAUCUGUGAGGACAACGACCGUCAUAUAUUAACAACUUUCUUGUAGUGAGUACAGCUUGGAGGCAAGGAUCAUCAUGCAGAAGUGAGUUGGCCUUGCCUCCUCAUUGUAGGGCCCGUAGUUCCGGCGCUUGUAGCCGGGGGGCUCCUCCAUCACUACUUCCUCGACCGUGGGUGGCACCUCCUCCAAGGGCGGCACCACCCUCCUUGCCCUUCUCCAUGGCCGACACCACCUCCUUGCCCUUAUUCUCCGUGUUGAUCUACAUUAUGAACAACAAAAAGUUCAAAGGUUGAUCAACAUUCGAUCCUAUUGUCCAAGCGCUAUAUUUAUCCACCCAAAGCCCCACUACGGACCGCACCGUCUUCGAUGAGGCAGCGGCGACACACCUCACGGCGGAUCCAUGCGUCAUUUGGGCGGACGCAAUGGAUUCGCGAUCAUCACACACAGUUAACUCGGCAAAGAUUCCCAUUCUCACGGAAACAACUGCAUGCCAUUCACCGCGUUGGCGAUUCCCAUUCUCACGGAACCGCUGUUGUCACGUCCACACCGCCUUCCUUCCCUUCAGCGCUACGCUUUGAGUUUACUAGCGGUUGGGGCGGCACCGGGUGGCGCCGCUUAAGAGGAAGUUCGGCGGUGCCAGGUGGGAGGCGCCCCUUCGGCUGUUUUUUUUUCUGCCACACAUGCAUGUACAACUGAGAAUCUUGUUAACCAAUGAGCAUAAAGCAGGCCAAAACCCUUGAAAGUGGCAAUCCAAAUCAUUAGAGCUAAAAGCGGAUUGGGAGCCAAAUGAGUUCAAACUACUUGAUGGACUAAACAUCUAGAAAGAAGCAUUUAAUCCACAUCUGAAACUUAAGAGAGAUCUCCUGACCAAUGUCAAUAGCUUCUGGUCUAACCAAAGAUAAAAUAUACAAGGGUAGCAGAUCGUAGAAAUUAUAUUGAUGUUAACAAGCCAGAAACCUUCUACCUUCUCAAGAAAAAGGAAGCUAAAAUCUUCAGGCAGGGCAUACUUUCAUGCUUUUAACAAUAUAUCAAUCGUAAGAGCAAGAACAUGGCCAAUUAAAUCUGUACUAUCAUCAUUAAAUUCAUGAACAAAUAAGAUUACUUGCAAUAUAGGAGGUAAUCCUUUCAUUUUUUUAUGGCAAAUGCAAAACAGUACAUGAUACUGAAAUAAUAUGUUCUGCAACUACGGUUUUCUCAAAAGAGAGUAAAUUAUUAAACCAAUUCCCAUUUCUGAAAACAAUGAAAAAACCCAGGGUAAUGUUGAAGAUGCAUGUGCAAUUAGAACAAGCAUGCAUUCUUGACUGACAAUGAGACACCAGUUGAGGCUCAGAUAGAACUCAGGGUACAACCAACUCUGUGGUUUAUACUGAACAACACACGAAGGAAUAUACUCUCCUCAAUCAAAAAAUUAUCUAAGGAAAAGAAGGAGGAAGUCACUUUUUAUAACAGAAAAGAGACCUCUGUCAUGGUUACACAGUCUAUGUGGACAUUUGAAGAUCUUGGUCAUGGCGUGCGGAUGCAUUGGUUGGGGGAGAUGCUAUAUUACUACGUGCGAAAGCAUUCAUCUGUCGUUUGAUGGGAAAAUGGAGAAGAAACAUUUAGCUUUCAAUUCCAAUAAUAAUCAGGAAAAGAAGUAAUCUUUGGGUAGAAAAUGAUGCUCUGGUUUGUCAGCCUCAGUAGAAUUCAAAGCGAAAAGAGUAACAUGUAUCACUAUGCAAGUACUGCAAGACAUGUCAAUAGUUUCCUAAAGUUCGCGGUGGAUAACAUGAAUCUACGCAAGUACUGGAAGACAUGGAAUCAUUGCAUCGCUUCACACCUAAAUAGUUUUGUUCCAGAAGUUCAUACCCAUCACAGCGUCAGUACACAGAAGAAGAAGAAAUAAAAGUCUCAUCGGUUCCUAAGGUUAUACUGACCUAGCACAAUGUCAAUGGUAACACAAAGGACACAUGCCUUGUUUAAGGAUCAGAUACUUAGCUAAGAAAUCUAUUGCUUCUUGGGCUUCUUAGGCAUGACAAAGUCACCGUCGUCGUCGUCGUCGUCUGUGUUGCUAGAUGCCUUCUUUCUCUUUUGUGUCGUGGUUUUUCCCUUUGUGGCUGAGUUGGUUUUGACAAAGUCGUCGUCCUCGUCGUCAUCUAUGUCGCUAGAUGCUCUCUUCUUUUGCGCUGUGGUUUUUCCCUUUGUACCUGAGUUGGUUUUCUUAUCGCCUAACAGCAGUAUCUUCUUGGUUAGAGAACUUGCCCUUCUCUGCGUGGAAGGCGUUUUGACCGGUGACCUCAGUUUCAGACCCUGUUUCUUCGCAAAGACCUCUGUAGCCACAUCAAGCGGUAGCAAACCCCAUUCCAUCAACCUAUACAUCCAAACGGUUACUUGCUUACACCAGAGGAAAUAUUAGUGUAUGCAUAAAAUGUAUAAACCAGACAUGAAUGAAUAACAAUUUCAACACACAAGCUACAAGUAAUUACUACCAGAAUGAAAUAUUAUGCUAGUGUAUGAUUCGGUCAGGACCGACUGGUAAGUGGAAAUCUAACUAAAAACAAGCAAGGUUUGUUAGUAAUUGAUGAUGAAAUAAGGUCACAUCUCUGACCCAUGGUGGCCCUCAGGUUUACCCAAGAAAAACGGACCUCGGCUGCAAGCAGAACUUGUUUCAUAACAACAAUGUAGAGGUACAAGGCAGAAGCAUACAACCUACACAAACAACACUCACACCACCAAGCUGCUUUAUAGAUCAACAGUAAUGUGUGCUAUAAAUGUUUUUAUAUGGGAUCUGCACCAGGCCACCAACCAGUUUUUGGAAAACACUACUAAGUCAUGAUUUUAUUAUCGUCGUAAGCAAAUAACCAUUCAGAUUCCAUGGCCGACCUUCAAUAUUUAACACCAUAAAUCAGUGAAGAUUAAAAAUUCUGGUGCCUUCAAGUUUUAACUGAACUUGGUUCACCUUUGAUAUUGCAUUAAUCUACCAGCAGCCGAUCAUAAUAGCUUCAUGUUAGUUCAGCAGUGCAAGACGCAAUGAUCACUUUAUUGUGUUCAGAAAUAGUUUAACAAUUUCAGAUUACUGAUGUUCCACAAACACAGAAUUGCAUUAUCAGUCGAGCACAGUGGUAUAAGUAACACUGGCUAUAUUGUAGUAAGUUCAGUAUUUAUCAAAUUUUAAGAACAUGUAUACAAAUACCAAUGUGUUUCGAUAUAUAUCUAGUUUCCCAGCUUCUAAAAGGAACUCUAACCCAUACCAAAAAAAUCCUUACCUCCCCAAAAAUUGCCACGAUUGGGAGUUAGACCCAUCUAACUCAUCCCCAGUACCCCUUCUAACUACCAAGAAAUUUUGGGAACUCCCAAAAAAACAGCUUGGGAGGUUUUGCUCCCUCCCAAUACUUUUUUUGGCAGGAGAAAGAUUCCUUCCCCAACCGUCACCUCCCGCCACCGCUAAAGUUGCCGCCGGCAACAACUCCGGUUAAGUCACCGGCUCUGGCAACACCGCAACAACAACUCUUACACAACCAGUACAACAUCAAAAGACCACAAUAGGUAGUUGCUUUGGCCAAACAGGAGGUGAAAGGAAAUGUAGCAUCUGCUUUUGCAUGGCAUAAGACAUUCAGGUUGUUUUAAGUACAAUAAUUCAAUUCUUACCUGAUUUGUGCUAAUACAAGGAACAGUCUGAAUCUUGUUUCUAAAAUCAACGAUCCAGACUAAUUAAGCUAGAAGAAAAUAUGCCCAAAGGAAAUCCUUACAGCCACUAGAAACAACAAUGCUUGCAUGAUAUAAUAUCGUCAAAAUAUCAAAAUUCAUUAUGCAUAGCAGGCAUGUCCAAUUAUUAAGGAGAAGCAAAGUGAAGCUCGAAAGAAAUCCUUACUGCUGGCGCCAGUAAUACACAAGUUCCCCAUAGCUUUUCCCUUGCUCUCCCCAGAAUUCCCAUGCAAUCGAAAUCAAUCAGCAAUCAUCAUGCCAUAAAUCAACAGUACAUAGUUAAGUCUCAGAUCAUACACUCAUACAGAGGUGAUCUCAACCUACUGACAAAAUAUAUUAAAGAUGGCAGCUUGUGACCUUUCGAGGGGGGCGGGGGCGAAGAGGCGAGGAGCACCUGCAUCAUAUAGACAAGGAAGAAUGAGGGGUCAGGUUGGGGAGGAUCUCGUCGAGCGCUGCCACUAUAAAAGCCAUCAUUAUAACUGAGUUAAAAAAAAACGCCUUCUGUUCGAUGGCUACAUCUAUUAAUGAGAGUUGUUCAAUCACUAUAGACACAUUUAACAUGUAGAUAGUGAUAUAAUAGUAAUUAACUUUGAUGAUCUAAUGCAAGCAUUCCCCUAGUGCAGAAGCAAGCCAACUGCAAGGUUCAUGGCGAACAAAUGGAAAUCAUUUCUACCAAUAUUAUGUUUUUAAUCUUUGUAACAAAAUAUACUACAGAAGAUAGCAGAAAAGGUGCAGUUAUGCUUUAUCAGACAUAUUACCUUUAGUCUCUAAAUAAUUCCUCUGUCUGGAAUAUAUUCAGAUCCACCUGAACAGAAAAAAGAAAAGGUACAAUGAUAAGAUAAUGAAACAUACUGCAUUUUUCUGUCUGUACUUGCAAAAUCGUGUCCCACCUCCCAUCUAUCCGAUCCUGCACAAAAGUAUGUCAUGGUCAUAUAGACGAUGAUAAGCAGUAAGUACAGUAUAAUACACAUAUGUACACUGCCUGAAAAAAUAAUCUGAACUGUCUAAUAUAGAACAGUGCAAGAUAAAGUGCCAAGUAAGCCUGAGAGGUGCAAUGGGCGGUGCCAGGUUGUGUGCACCCCUUCUCUGUUCUUUUUUGCAAGCUUGUGUUUGGUCUGCUUGUGUGAACAUCUCGCUACAUGGCGUCAUUUAUCAAUGGCAGUAAAGCUCAUGGGUCCGGUGCCUUUUAUGUAUGAAUGCAUAUCAAACAUGAAUAAGUUGGCCUUCCUUUAUGAAAGAGAAGUUGCCAUAAUGCAAAAACAUAUUAGCUUUGCUAAGUUAGAAAGUAUGAACCGUAUCCAAGCAAGUGUUACAUAAAAAAAUUAUUCCGAACCAGUAGAUGGCAGAAACAACUCAAACAUAGGAAAGCUAGCAAUCGUGCAGCAGAUGAUAUCCAUAGCAGUAGCAGCUGGCAAAGCCCUGAGACACCUCGUGGGAGAACACAACUUUGCGCCUGUAUAUUAGAUCCAAGCAAGUUAACAGGACACUAAGCAAGUUAGUGCUAGAAACUGUAAAGAAGCACAAUUGUGAGACCUGCUUAAGAAGUUUCUCUUCAGGAACUAUUUUACAUAAGCAGUUAUGGACAUCUCGAUCGAUACUCCACGGUAAAAAAUAUAUAUCUUGAUGCUCGUCAGAUGAAACAGAAGCUGGGAGCCAUGGAAGGAACUCUGCCAGUCUCAAAUGCACGGAUACUUCAACCGACCAGCGAAUAUGUAUCGGAUACCAUAUCCGAUACCGAUACGCCCCCGAUACGUAUCAUUGGAGUAUCCGAGAAUAAAUGAUUUAAAACAAUUACAAUACUCUAAGGAUACUUCGCCAGUACGUUUUGGAUACUUUUCCAGCCCAAGUAAGAGCCCGCUCAGCCUAGUUAAGAAGCAACCAGCAACUCUAGUACCCCGAUGCCCCCAUCCUUUCCCUCACAACGUUUUUCCUCCCUCCCAUGCUCACACCAGGUGGCGGCUGUGUCGCCAGCGGCUGCUCACCCAGGUCCCAGGGCCAGCAGCGGUGGAGGCUAGCCGGCGACGAGCUCCUCCUCCUACUCACCAACGUCCCCUCUCACGCAACAGCCAAGUAUGGACACUUCUCUUCUCCAUUUCUCCUGCCCAGCCAAGCUCAUCUCCUCUCCUUUCUUCUCUGAUCUCUGAAGAUCUGUCAUCCUCAUCUCCUCCAGAUUGCUUUAAGUACCUGCAACGUAUCCGUAUUGGCACUUUUUGAAAAUGACGAAUUUACGUAUCCGUAUUGGCCCGAUACUGAUACCCGUAUCCGUAUCAGUGCAUUCGAGCUGCCAGCAUAUUUACAGAAAUGUUGCAUAAGAACUGCCACACUAAAUCUGACUACUCUUCGUAUGACUUUUUGGGUAAGCAACGGGAAGACUUAGAAAAUCAGAUGAUCAGACACCAAUAGAUACGAAAUGCGAUUAGUCACCAGCACCAAGUAUCUGAAGUAAUCACAUCAUCAAAAUAUGAUUUUAUAGAAUGCAGACAUCACAACAGAUAGAUGACCAUGCAAAGCGCAUAAUCUAAAGAAAAAAUCUGCCACAUUUCUGAACUCCCAAUGGCCACAUAUUUCAAACUAACCUUUCUUAUGAUGGAAUGAAAUAACACAAAGAAAAUGCAACCGGCGACAUGGCACACAGAGUGAUCUCAGGUGCUUGUAUAGCUUGAUUGGGUUGCUGCUACCUCCAGACCCAUGCUGAAGGUUCUAUUUUCCAAAUUGUAUGCCUCUUUUCUUAGAAAAAAAAUCAUAUUCAAAUAUUUAUCCAACGAAUUUCUGAAAUUUGUAGGUUGUGACUUAAAACUAAUAGCUAGCUGACCCAGGAAUACAUAGAAACUAAGAUGUUUUGCAGAUACCUAGGGUUGAGUGCGUCAUCGUGGAUGGAGUGGCUGAUCUUCUCCUCAAGCUCAAUACAUCCACCAUCCCAGACCUUAAAGUUUCAGAAGAAACUCAUGCGACGAUCUCAAAUGAUUCCAGCAUGGACCCUCCAACCUUCAAAUGAGUUCACUGUUAAUGGGUGUAAAAGACCAGAUAAUAAACUAAAAUGCCGGGGCACCAUGCGUCACUAUACUGAUCUACAAAGCAUACAACUAAAAAAUAAAGAUUAAUCUGACUUUAUAAAGCACAAAUAAAGAACUCUUCAUGUAACAAUUUCAUGGUAUUAACCCAGUAAGGUUGUUCCAUGAAUUGUACACCACAUACUUCUGGAUCAGAUUUCAUUUUUACUGCUGUUUAUAGAAAGUGAAAAACAACACCACAUACUUACAAUAUGCAUGGGUUCCAGUUAUCAUUUAUUUGGGUUGAAAAUUAAGAGCAUCUUGCUAUCAGAAUAAAAGGGAGAUGCACUUCUAUAGUACCAAGAACAAAACAUAGGAUUGUUCUAGAAUACAAUAUCAGAACAAGUAUCAGUCUACCAUUUAGAGAGAAAAAUCAAGAAGUAAAAUCCCAGUACAUGGAACUUACCAGGGAGGAGUCGCUUCAGAUUUGUCGCUCUGACUUCUCGUCACACUAUCAAUAAUAAAAUAGGAAAAGGUCUACACAAACAGACAAAACAUAAUGAUAUGCCACAAAAAUCUAACCUAUCUUGUGAACAAUGAAACAAUCACAAAAAUGAAUUAAAAAGAAAGAAAAGGAGCCUCACCUCAUGAUCACGGCCGAGCAAUCACUACACCAACAACACCUCGAUAUUGCCCGUCGUCAGGUAGUUGGCCCACUCUAAUGCCCCAGAACGACCAACACGAUCCACAAGAACCCUACAAAAUCAACAAGUUCAAGGAUGAGGGAAAGAUAAAGCUAAAAUCCUCAGUUAAGGCAUCAAGUGGUAGCUCGCUUAGUAGCUAUCAUUCCUGUAAAGAGCAAGCACAUGGCCAAUGAAAUCUAUAGUAUCAUCACUCAAUUCAUGUUUCCUAGAAACAAAUAACAAAGAACAAAUAAGAUUACUUGCAAUGCAGGAGGUAACCCUUACAUUUUUAAUGGAACAUGCAGAAUAGUACAUGAUACUAAAAGAAAAUGUUCUGCAACUCUAUCGAUUUUCUCAAAAGAGAGUAAAUUAUUAAGCCAAUCCCUACUUCUGAAAAAAUGAAAAAGAACCGGUGUAAUUCUGAAGAUGCAUGUGCAAUUAGAACAAGCAUGUAUUCUUCACUAAGAAUGAGAUUUACAGUUGGCGCAGCACUUGUCAACUGUGGCUCGGAUAGAACUGCAAUCAAGACGCAGGGGAGAAGUGGCAGUCAGAAUUUUGCAUCUACCUAUUGUUGGAUUCAUUGGAAGAACAAGGAGAAACUCACUGAAAGGGGACUGACCGGGAAGCAGAUUGGGCACUCAUUGAGGUCGGGCCUGGGGUCGUUCGACCUCGAGGAUGAGCCGGCGCAGCUUCUUGAGGUCGACGUCUGGGUGCGGGUAGAGCCCCUGCCGCUCCGUGUUUUAUAGGAUGAACGCGGGAUUCACACCCUAAUCAGCGAGGAAAAUCACACAAAGCCAUGAACGUGCUUGCUCUAUCAAUAUCCAAAAGUAACAGUACAUUUGGACGGGAAACGAGAAAGCAUGAAAUGCAAAUCAACAAGCAUCCCAACAUGGCUCGUGUGCCGCACAAGAUCGAGCUCAAGAGUACCUGACGACCUUGACUCGAUUCGGCUGUCCCUUGGCCUACCCUCUGAACAAUCCCCUGUUGUGCUCCUCUCGUCCCCGAGAGCAACCUCCACCCCUGCUCCUCACGUGGCGGCGAUGGAGGUCGCCUCCCCGAGCCAGGGCCUACUUCAGCACGUCGAUUCCAUCCUUUUCCCCGCACCCAGCUAUAUAAUCACUAGCCUGAAUCCAAAACCGCAGUUCAUGCCCAAUCCAUCAUUCUAUUUAAUCACUAGCACUACAGUAUGCACGAUGAAGAGGAUAUUCAACCAAAUCUACAUCACCCCAAACUAAUCAUCACAUAUUUCAUCAUGAUUCUGAAUGCACUGCGGCUGGCAAACAUUGCCGAAUCCAGCAUUCUAUAUAAUUGCUAGUCUGAAUCCAAAACAACAGUUCAUGCUCAAUCCAGCGUUCUAUACAAACACUAACACUGCAGUAUGCAAAACGAAGAGGAUGUCCGACCGAAACUACAUCACCUAGAAUUAAUCACCACAUAUUUCAUCACGAUUCAGAAUCCAUGAGAAUAAGAAAACUAUACUACACCAACCAAAACACAGGCCAGUGCAUACUAAAACAAACUUAACAGAUCAAUCCUGUGUUCUCCCUCUAAAUCACUAGAUCCAGUCACAAAAAUAAUACAUCUACAUACCUCGUAGCCCAGCCGCUGGUAGUUUCAGAUCACACUUGGACCCCGCCGAAUCCAGGGGAAAUCCCUUGGUUUGUCCGGCGCUGGCUGGAUCUCCCUCACGACAUAUUUCCGGCUCUGCGAGGUAAGCCUGCAACUCCCCGGGCCUGACCACCCGCCUCUCAUUUCUUAGACACCCGCCGCCCUGCUCGAAAUCACCACGAUCCCAGGUCCUCGUCAUGGCCUCCGCCGCCGUGCAUCCUCUCCAAGUGCUCCUGGACGACGCCGUCGAGGAUGCCGUACACGGUGUUGCAGCACUCCUGAGCACGGCGCACGACGCUGCUGAGCCGCGCGGCGAGCCACGGCAAAGGCCACAGGUCUCCGGGUGGGGAAGAGCAGCGCCACGCCUAGGCGGCAGUGGUGGCGGCGGCGGGGGGAGGGCACCGGUGGUGGCGGCGGCGAGAGACGAGGGAAAGGGAGAGGGAGAGAAAUCGGGGGAUGGGGAUUGGGGGCUGGGCCACUGGCCAAUCUCUUUCUCUCUUUCUUCUCGAUGAAGCAAAACUGUUUGUCUGCUAGCUAAUCCUACGUGGACAUCGCCAGCGAUCGCUCCUUACGCGACUGUUAUUGAGUUAAAUGCGCAUGCAUGGUGGCAGGUCUACCUGAUGACCGACCAACAAGCCCGCUAUGUCGUGGUCCAGGAUCCAAUUGGUGCCGAGUCACAGUCGCGGCAGACUCACCUAGCUAGCUAGAAAAGGGAGACGCCGACGCCGACGCCGGCCACACCUAGCUCAGCUACUGCUCCGGAGCGCCUCCCCGCCCCGUUCCAAGCCCCAAGCCGCCAUGGCCGGCGCCGACGCCGCCGGCCAGUUCCAGAAGGUCAGGAUCCAGCGCGAGGACACGGUGAGCAACUCCUCAGACCAUCCAUCGUUCAUGAAAACUGAAACUUUUUAUGGAUAGGAUUGAUUUCGUUGCUCUGAUCUAUACGCUUGUGCACCCAGCAGUGACAUUAUCUUGGAUUCUUGGUGCUUUUGCUCCGUAUCUGUGCUAACUUAUACUACUAAAUCGGCGACACUUAUUUUGUGACGGAGGGAGGGAGUACAUCUUACUGCUAAACUGGUGCGACGCUGUACAUCUGCAGGCCUUCGAUGCCUAUGUCGUCGGCAAACAAAAUGCCCCUGGAGUUGUAGUGUUGCAAGAGUGGUGGGGGCUCAACAACCAGGUCAAGAACCAUGCCAUCCACAUCUCCCAGCUCGGCGAUGGAUACACAGCACUUAUUCCAGAGUACGGCGAUUUAUCAUUUACUAUCUUCAUUCUGCUCCUUUCGGUGCACCAUUUGCUAACAAGACGGAGUGCUAUACAACUGAUGCUUCACAAAGUGCCGGUGCUUUCUCAGUUUGUACCGUGGGAAGGUCGCUUUGGAUGCUGCCGAGGCUCGGCAUCUGAUGGAAGGGCUUGACUGGAAGGGCGCAAUCAGGGAUAUUCAGGCUUCAGUUCAAUGGCUGAAGAAGAAUGGAUCACCCAAGGUAGGUUCUUUUUUUUAACCCUUGUUUAUGUUUCAAGAUUUUCUCUGUCAAUUUUAGUUAUUCGAAUUUUAAUAUAGUAAAAUGGUUGUGCACAUCAUUUUGAUGCAGAGGACCAGGGGUUCAACCUGCUUCUUCUCGAAAGGAAAAAUUAUUAUUAUUAUUAUUAUUUCAAUUGUAUUAUUCUGGGUGACACGCAACUCAUUUGCCAUUAUUAUUAUUAUUAUUAUUUCAAUUGUAUUAUUCUGGGUGACACGCAACUCAUUUGCCUUUUGGUAGAUUUGUGGUAAUACCGCCAUUCAGCAGAAUCUAAUACUCCCUCCAUUCAGCAAAAUCUAAUACUCUCUUCUUCUUAACUAGUUAGCAUGCACGUGCAACGCACGGAUUUUUUAAAGGGAUAAUACAUGUUCAUCCUAGUUAAUAGAUAAACAUUAAAAUAAAAAAAUAGUGACGCACUACUUAUAAAUAUUACACAUCCAAUAGCUGAUAAUAAUGUACUAAUAAUGAACUAACAUUUUUCAUUUAGCGGAAGAAUAUUGAAUUUAUUUGUUGUAUUGAAGGGAGGAUAUUUUUUUUAACACGGGAGGAUAUUUCCUUUGCGGAGAGGAGUAACUAACCUAUGCAAACUUCUGAUGCAAAAAGUAUAUAUUAAAAAUUUCCAACAACUGAAAAAGCUGGACAGUGAUAAUAAAAAAAUGUAUUGUUAUUGUUGCAAGCAUAUGACUCAUCGUGAAAUAAAGAAAUAGGAACAUCGUGCGUUCGAUUUUCCCAAAGAACAGAAAUAUGAAUGUUUUAAUAAAACUAUAUUUUCUAAAUUUACAUAUAGAUGUUCUGUUUGUUUAUAAAAUAUCCAUUAAAAAUGGAAAAAUAAUUAGGCUAUGUUGUUGUCUUUGAUUCAUCCAGUUUUCCAUGGAAACAAAGCACUCAAGAGGAUCAAAAAGGCCAAAGCUGUCGUCUUCUUUUUUCUGCCGAGCGACACAACCUGCACAGGCCCUGGGACCUGGGUAUCUCUUGGUUGCUUUUAGGAAAAAUAUUCCAAACUUUUAUGCUCGGCUUCAACUUCUGAAGGAUCCUGACAAAAAAAAAGAGGAGUUACGUCGCUAACAUGACCAUUCUAAGGAAUCUGUGUCAAAUAUUAGUAUUAGAGGUGAGAUUAGGUUUUCCCCUAAAACAUGAGAUUAUGAUUGAUGGGUCAAAUAAUGUCAAACUUUUAGGAGAAAUUAAGGAGAGAAGAUGUCACAUCAAGUUUGUAGUGAUGUAGUGCCACCACGAAAUCUUCUGCAGCAGAAUAUCUAACAAAGGAUCAGUGCACAACAGCUCGCAUCAAAAGUUCAGGGCACAACCCACUAUUCAGUACAAAACACGCAGACACAACACAGACGCCGCCGUCGUCAACCUCCGGCCACGCACGCUCUCCUUUGUCUGCACCCGCGUUCUCCUCAAGCAACAGUCGCAUUGCCUCCUCAAGCCCCGUUCAGCGUCGUCCGCGCUUGCCCUCCUCAAGCUCCGGUCCGCAUGGCCCGUACUCGUCCUCCGCAACGGCCGGCCGGCACGGGCCCUUUGCUAGAAGGAGGAGGAGAGAGGGCACGAGCAGAGAAGGGGACUCACUGGCCUCUCGCUCAGGCCACGGCGCGCCCCUCUGGCCGCCGGCCACUCGCGCCCAUGCUGAGCCAACUCCCUUACCUCGCAUCCAGCAUCUACCCGGCGAGCCUCUCUUCACCUGGUCAAACACCCCGCUCGCCGCCCCGAGGCUGCGGCUGACACCCCAUAUCACCCGCAUGGCGAGCAACUGGCCACAUGUGGCCGUGGCAACGACAUCUAACGUGUCGCCCAUGCCGCCGAAAUCCAGCGGCACCGAAAGCAGCGCGUAGGUGGCGGUCUGCUUGAGCGGCCGCUCGGUCUCGUCCCGAUUGCGCCCGACGGUGACCCGGCCCUCCGCGUGACGAUUGCGGCGAUGUCGGCCAGUCGCACGCACACGCCGCCCCGCUCCAGCGCGGAUUCCGCCUCCAGCCGCAGGUCCUUCGCCUCUGGGAUCGGUGAAGGUGUGGUGUGGAGGCCUGCUCACAGAAGAAAAUCGUUGACGUGAUUUCAGGAACUCCUUGGAUUGGGGGGCGGAAAUCGUUGACGUGAUUUCAGGAAUCGUUGGAUUGGGGGCGGGUGGUGGAGUACGGUCAGUCAUUCAAAAUUACUAAGUGCACACCGUAAAACUAUUAGAUGAAUGAUGGUCGUUAGAUUCAGAUUUGUGGGACUAAUCGUACGGUGGUGAAUGGGUCCUUCGGUGUUCUGGGUGUAAUUACGGGGUACACUUAAGAAAGUUUCUGUUGGAUUGUUUAAUAGUAGUGGAGAUCAAUGAAAAUGAUAAAUCUUUUGCCUCGUUUUAAAAUAAAGCUUAAAAUUCUGACACUUAUUAUGGAUCGGACGAAGUAGUAUGUAAGUAGCCAUUUUAUUUGUUUGUUGCACAAAUCUUGUUGUGUACUUUUGACAGUUAACUAAAUAAGUAAGCUAUGCCCCUCAGUGAUGUCUAAGAUCGUGUCUUCUAGAAAUAAUUUGACUUUUCUCCACUGCAUGUGUACAAGUGAAAUUUUUCAUGAGAAAAGCAUUAAAGGAUCAAUUUAGGUUCAUGGAGGUAAUGCAAUCGCAACACAUACCAUGUUUAUGUUAUGUUGCAAAUUAAACAACACCUAAGUAAUGAUUGACAUACAUUUUUUCCCUAAAUAUGUAUUUUGUUUAGGUUGGUGUUACUGGUUAUUGCAUGGGAGGUGCUUUGGCAAUUGCGAGUGGAGUUUUGGUACCGGAGGUUGAUGCUGUUGUUGCUUUCUACGGGACACCAUCCUCGGAGCUUGCUGAUCCUUCCAGGGCUCUAGCUCCAAUCCAGGCUCAUUUUGGAGAGCUCGACACCUAUGUCGGGUUUGCUGAUGUGACCGUAAGACCUUUUACGUACCCCAGACUCGGUCUUGUUAAAUAAGACAAUAUUGAGGAUUAUUUGCUUUCCAUAGGGAGUUAGAAACUGGAAAAUAGUUUGCUAACUCAAACGUUAUGUGCAUAUACUUAUUAGUGUUGGAUAACAAAAUUAAUAGUAUUCUUAAUAGAAAUACAAAUAGAAAACAUUGUUACCGUGAUGUUUUAGGCGGCCAAGUCGUUGGAGGAGAAGCUCAAGUCUUGUGGGGUAGCACAUGAAGUGCACAUAUACCCUGGAUGCUCUCAUGCCUUCAUGAACACAUCACCUGAGGCUCUCAAGAAUCAGGGAGCCAUUGACCUGGCAUGGUCCUGCUUUGCUACAUGGAUGGGUCGUUUCCUGUGAUCUGUAUCGGAGCCAUCACCACACUGUAUGAACCUGAGGUGUAUAUGGACUCAGAGUCACGAUGAUUAAUGAGAAUAAGAUGUUCGGUACGUGCGUACAACAUGCAGUCAUUGUCCAAUCCAGACAAGUUUGCUUGUGUUAGCGAUAUGAACUCGUCAUGGUUAUGUUUUGUGAAUGGUGAGCUAAUUUGGUGUGCAUUUCUCCAUUUACAUCGAAUUGUCGAGAGUUUCUUGGUUUUCACUUUUUCUUGGAAAGGCAUUUUUAUCGUGAAUGCUUGCUCUUUUCCAAAAGUAUAUUAUUUUUUUGUCGUGUUUUCGGAUCCGGCUUUCACUCUUCUUUACAAAGCAUUUUGGAUCGUGAAUACUUGAAAAUAUAUACCAAAAAUUACGUAACACAAAUAAUUCCAGAAAAGGUAUUGAUGAUGCUGAUUUUCCUCCUAUGAACCUGGUGAAAGUUUAAACCAUACAACUUUUGUGUGCACUAUGUUUUUAAAGUUGGAACAAAUCUCUGUACACUAUUUUUUAGAGGGAAUUCCUUUUUUUUUAUCCCCAAGGUUCCCGUUAGUGACGGAUGUUACCCGAUUUAGCGAAAAUUCUAAAUUUAUGCUGUUCAGUUUUUUUUCUCUCCAAUUUUACUGCGGAUUUGUGCAUACCAUGUAGGCGGUUUAUUUUUCUCUCUUCAGUUUUUCUAUAUCUACUGGAUCCCAGGUGCAGAGAACACUCGGCUCAGCUCAGUUCAGAGCGUCCAAAAUUCUUUUUGUUUUCACCGGACCGGCCCCGGCGAACCGAAUCCCGAGGCUCCCCUUCGUGGGCCGGCGGUCGACGACGAGAUCUUUCCCGGUUCCCGGAGGCGCGAAAGCGGCGGCCGGUUUCCUCCGCUGUGCUACUACCUGCACAGCUGCACUGCCGAGCACGCGCUCGCUCGAUCUCUCCGCGUUGUCGCGCACGUCGGCAGGUCGGCAACCAGAGCCAAAGGGCCUGCCUAUAUCCGACAGCUGAACGUGCACGGCGAGGCGCCAUGAAUCAUCGGCGUCCCCUGCGUGGCACCCAGCUUGCUUUAGCUCGUGUGCACGCACGCGGCAUCCGGAGAUGCAUUCGUCCGCGGAACAGCGAUUUGUGAGUUGUGACGACGUACGUGAUUGAUUGGUGUGUAUGCAUCAACAGAGAAGACAAGGGAAAUAUAUAUAGCUCGAUCGUGAUGAGGAGGGCAAGCUCGCAUCGGAAAGCUACAUGCCGUCCGUCCGGCCAGCAAAUGUGAAAUGUCUGUCUCCGCGCGCUGAUUGCUGCCUGCUGCAGUCUUAUUAUCGAGAUGAAAUGUUCUUUCAGCGAAAGGUGACGUUCCCUCGACACGACAGCGAGGUGCAUAUGCAGUUUUCCGUCGGUCGAUCUGACGUACGCAUCGUGCCGCUUAGAAAAAAUCUUUACAAAAAGGAUGGUGCAUAUGCAACAAUUACGUAACAUGUCAGAAAUGGCGGCUGAAUCGAUAAGUAAGUUGCAUUUUUAAAGGAAAAUUAUUGACGAUGGCCAUAUGGUGUGGUGUGUCCGUGGGGUGUGUGGACAGAGUAACACACGUCGGCGUCGCCGUUUCACAGCCUCCGUUCUCUCUCUUUUUUUUCUUCAGGCAGGCGUGUGAAAGCGGCGAGGAAUGUGUGUGUAGUUUGGUUCCAUCGAGUGACUACGAAAGAAUUUGUCUGCCGAACAAAACAAAUUUUGAGGCAAUUUCCAAGCCAUUUAAUUUAGCGUACAACAAAAACGUCAACAUCCAUUUCUUUGGUCAGGCGCACUAUCGACCUGAUCAGCAUGAGCCAGAGUUUAUUUAGAGCAUAAAAUAGGGGGGUAAGUGCGCUUUGGCUCAUUUUAAUUAACAUCUUCUUCUUCUUUUUCUUGCUUGGUUGAUUCAUUCGUCCAUUCCUAGGUUGGGUGUAUCAUCAGAUCAAAAUAACAAAAAGUUGUACACUGAAUCAAACUACACCAAGGUUUCUGAAGAAGCAGAAAGAACGUGCAACCACGAAGAACUCAGAACAAGGUUCUUUCUUGUGCACAAGAAGUGCAAACUACUACAAGAAAAAGGCAGGGGAACAAGCAUGAGUGUAGAAUCUUUCUGCAUUUAUACGUAUCAUCGACCAGCCGUGCUCGCUUGCUUGCUUAUCGUAAGUAAAUCUCAGCUAAUUACGUUUCUAUUUAUUACAAAGGAUUGAGCAAUGAUGGAAGAACCAGAACCAGAGCAGAGCAGGGUGAGAGAGAGUGAGAGGGAAGGAGACCUUUUUUACUUGGGCAUCAUCGAUCUUCCACAGUACUCGCCGCCGGUCGACGGUCAAGCCUCGGCCAUCGCCCGGCCGCCCGGCGCGCGACCACUCCACGAACGAACGGCCGGAGAUGGCUCAUCUGGCUGGCUGGCUAUGGCUAGCAGCGGUAGACGACGUAGUUGUUGCGGCGGGGCUUGGGCAUGUGGCAGAGCAUGACGAGCACCAGGGCGAUCAGCAUGGCCAGCAGGAACCCCUUGGGGUCCAGCCCCACGCCGCCAUCGCCGCCGCCGCCGUCGUCGUCGCUGCCGCAGCCGCAGCCGAUGCAGCAGCAAGAUCCCGACCCCAUGGCGGCGACUGGCACCGGGGGAUAGUGGUGAGGUGAUUCUCUGAAUCUUAUUGAGAUGUGUGUGCCUCUUCUGUUGCUUGGACUGUGGAGAAAGGGGAGAAGAGGGGCGGAGGCAGAGCACUUGUUGUUUACUAGCAGCAGCACUGACACCCAGGCGCACGGGUCCAACACGGCUAUCUAGCUGGGCGGGCGGCUGGGCCGGUCCGAGGACGGCAGUCGGCAGGCGUAUGGACACCGGGGCCCACAUGUCAGGUGCUAGAUGUAGAAUAAAAAGCAGAGUUUCAGUGUUUCACUACACUCCAUGCUGCAACUUGCUGGCGUUGGAAAAGAAAAAAGGAAGGUUGCCACCACAUUCCUGUUGCAAUUUUGCAAGUGCUCAUGUAUAAAUAAUUUCUUUUUUCCAGGUUUUUUUACUGUGUUGUUGGUGGGAUGUCACUGUCUGGAAAAGCAUUGUAAUUCCACUUCAGACGUGGUUUCGGACAAAACUUCAGAGUGGCACCACCAGUUUGACCGAAAGCAACUGGUAUCAACCAAAUGAUUUUAAUGAAGACUUAUAAAAUGCACCGCAAACCAAAUUUCAGGCCAUGCUGUACCAGGAAACCAAAAUCGGUAAAAACUUUCAGAACAAACGUACCCCAGAAAUGUGAAUGAAACAAGCAUCAAACCGAAACAGACAGUAUAUUUUCGGUGAAAUUCAUUCGGGCUAUGUUCAGAACUACGUACGUGGUGAGAAAACCGAACAGAAGGUGACCAGAACAAAUAGCAGAACAAAUAUACACCGUUGCAACACUAUUGUGCAGUGUCUGCAAAGCAUCUACUACUGCUGUGCUGGGGCAAACAAAACCAGUGGUAUGACAACACAUCCCUACAAUCCCCUUGAUGCUGCUACUCACUCAGGGUAACAAAGAAAAUUUGCUCAACAUAUGCGACCGGGUACUAACUGUCGACGCCGAGGAACUCUGUGAAGCUUGGGUAUUGGGGCUCCCACCCGAUAUCGGCCCGGGUUUUGGAAUUCUCCAUCCUCUUCCCCAACGGACCGCCGGUACCUGAAGAGAAGGUGGAUUCAAGAUUAUUACCACAAGAAGAGUGAUGUAUGCGCACCGAAACACUUCACACGCUGGAGCAGGAAGGAAACUAACCAGUGAAACCUUGGAAUUCCGUGUCGAACUUCCCACUUUUGUUAACAGCGUCCAUUAUUUCUUGCCUGCAAAGUUCAAAUUUAUGCAUUUUAAUUGAAAUAACGAGUUGCCCGUUCAGCUAUCAGUAGAGCCAUGGCACACCGACAGAAACGAGCUAGAUGAAUACCAGUUGAUGUAAAGAAGCAGCUUAGCACUAACCUGGAAAGAGGCUUAUUGUCACAGCCCAAAAAUAUACGAGCCCGAGGUCUCUUUUUCAUUAUGGCAAUUGCAAGGGAUGCCGCAUCCUGAGAAUAUAUAAGAUAACAUUACAUUACAACUCACAUGAUGCUGAUUGAUGUGACAUAUUUUGCUUAAUAAAUCAAUAAAGUUGUUUCUGUUUGUUUGAUCUGACGCACUUCGCUUAAUAAAACAAUAAAGUAGGAUCGUUUGCUAUGAUAAGACUGAAUUUUUUUUAUAUAGAAGGAUGAAUCUGGGGUAAAUUUCUAUGCUCAUUUAACCUCAUAAUGGAUCUGAUUGAUAAUAUGAUCUGGUCGCGAGUCCAGUGUUCCCUUCCUCAACCAGAAAUAAUGAGCACCCCUAUCUAUUUUGUGUGUCUAAGUCAAGGAAAUACGGUAUGAGUUAUAUUCAUCUUAUAUUGUAUAAAAGCUCUGUGUUCAUGCUUGCAAUUUUAAACAGCCAAUAUGUAUAGGUGGAGGAUAUAUAAAGUCCUGCUAGCCUGAGAACACAGCCUCCUGCCUCCAGGACAACAUUUUCUGCUCUAAGAAGAACAUCAGUACGAGGACCCCUGCCCACUGGAAUAGAUGGACAAUCCUGCACAACGAAGAGAAAAGGCAUGGUAAAAACAAUUAAAAUAAAAUUCAGAAAAUAUUAGGAGCUACUUGUGUGUUUCUAGGUAAGAAAUGCUUCAACUGCAAAAAUAAAAUAAGAAGUGCUUGUACGCCCAAACUAUAACAAAUCUGAAGUUGCAUACUAUAUUAGACGUGUAAAUUUCUCUUUUCAUUUAGCGGAGCUUUUAUCACCCAAAAGAGCAACAAUUGGUAGACACCUAUGAUCUAUGCAGAAUAUGCAGUCUAGCAGUAAUACCUCAUUGCACAAUCUGUUGUCACUACAGUCAUAAAGAGCAGUACUCGACGUAAACAGGAAAGAACCUUCUCCGUUCCAAUUUGAGGCAGCCACUCUGCAUGCAUUUUCUGAAAUGAGGAUACAUCACAUGCCCAUGAUAUGCAAUUUGUUUAGCAUAAGAUAGAUGCACACCGCACAGUAUCACAGCGAAACUAGUCUAGUUACUUUCUACCAGUUCAUUGAGAUGCAGAACUUUGCAUUUUUCCUAUAAAGCUAGUGUAAUUCAUUAACAAUGGAAAAAAAUCCUACUAACCAAAUUGAUGAUGCACAGGGGUGUGUUGACAUCAGAAAAAAGGUUGGUGGCACCCAUCUGCAUAUAAUACUAGUAAUAACAGAUCCUUACAGAAAAACUGUCCAAUAGUCCAUCGAACAGUUUUUGGUAAAUCAUAAAAUCUUAGCCCUGGUGGAGUUAGUUGUUCCAAGCACAGUGCACUCUAAAAUGCAGUACUUAACUAAAAAAAUGACAAUAUGAAGUCCCAUAGCAGUAUGUACAGUUGUACACACGUAGCUGUAUUAGAAUCAAGAUAAGAUCACCUAAUUUAUUUACAAAUACCAAAAGACCAGAAAGUCCUGGAUCAACCAUGUUACACCACACAUUUCCCUCUGCUAAUACUGACAUUGCCAAUAUUAAAUCUGACACAUCCAUUACUACAGAUUAAAUUGCACUUCUACAGCGACCAUCUCCAUAAUAUCUGACCAGUCAUCGUCUCAGAUUGUCUACCAGCUUGAUUCAAUUUUCGUGCCACAAUCGCGGACCAUACUUUCACUAUGAUACAUACAUAAAACAUCAAUGUCAAUGUGUUCAUCUUAACCAACGUUCACUAUGGUUCAUGUGCCCUAAGGUUCAUAUCAGCAAUUAAACUUCCAUACUUCAAAAAAUUCAGCUUCCACACGGAUGUGAGAUCUCAGUCCAAACAGCACAGACAUCAAGCAGUGACCACAAACUGGAGAUUGGUACCAAUUCUACUGCAUGGAGCCAUCAUUACAAUCACACUCGCUUACCUCAAAUCGCCGGGGUAAUCAUCAGAACGGGAUGGAGGAGCGCAGAAAAUAACAUAUGGAGCCUUUUGAGAGAUAGUGGAUCCCUUCAAGGAGGGAAUGAUGCCAAUAUUGGUUAGCUCGCUGUGAUGGUCUGUGCUUGCGGUCUGGCCAUAAACUUUGCAUCCUGGGUGUUCCUAUAGAAGACGAGGUUGAGUACUUAAUUAGCCGAGACAUGAUUAUGUUUAACAGGUUGAUGUCAGAAAGUGGUUCUUUAGCCACGGGUAUCCAUACCUUUAGCCACUUCUCGGCUACCAGUCGCCCAAGCACACCUGGGCCGAUGAUGAGUAAGUCGUUCUGGGUAACAAUGUCGGCACCGGGCAUCGCGAACCCUGUAUCUUGGGAUACCCCUAGCAGCAACAAAGAAGGAAAUGUUAAAGGUCACUUAGUUGCACGCAUCGCUGUGGAAAGAAUUCGACAUUUGGAGAUAAAGAGGACCAACCUAGAGCCUCCAUCGGUCAUAUAUAUAACUUUCAGCACAUAGUAACUAGAUAACUUAAUUUACCAGGUACUGAAAUCCGUUACCCUUUGAUAAAUCGUUCAUUCCACCAUGACUGAAGGCCAUAAAUUGCCACAUAGAUGUCAGGUGAAGUAGCUACUAGCUAAUGUCAAUCGGCGCUUCCGUCCAUCGUUAUAUGAUGAGACAAGCAGAAUGCGCGACCUCGGAACCCAACUAGUAUAAACUAGUUGAUUUCAAUGGGAUAAAAAUGGGCAUAGUGAUAGUUAUAACACUUGUAAUUUGGAACUGACAGGGAAUGGAUUUCAGAACUGGACACAGCAGCUCAACAGUGUAACUGGAGCGGAGUUGGAAGCGGAUUGCUAUCCAAUGGCACGAGCGAGCGAGUUAAUGGAAGGCGGGCAGCGCAAGGAACAGAAAGGGGCAAAAGACAAGGGUCGGCCAGAGAGUUACCGAGGGCGGCGGCGGCGACAGGCGCGCGGCGGGCGAGCGAGAGGAUCCGAGCUGGACGGCCGGCGGUCGGGGUGAGGGGCCUCACGGAGGAGGGGCGGGAUGAGGGGAGACGGAGGGUUGGGGUCCGGGUGGGAACCAGGGCGGCGGCGACGGCGACGUCCAUAUUGUCGUCGGCCGUCGUCGAGAGCUGGGAUGGGGAUGGACAUUGGAUCGGGGUUGACGAGGAUAAUGGUGGCGACUUUGGGUUGGGCCGGGCCGACUUUGAACCAGGGCCCGGUAUGACGUACAGACAGACAAUUGAAACCCAUUCGACCAGGUCUCAAAAAAAAUUCGACCAUGUCAAUUGAACUGACUGCGUAAAAAAAAGUUGAACUGACUGCCUAUACAUGUACAAUUUUCUCCAAAAAAAAAUGAUGAUGAUAAUAUACACUUACAGAAGGACGAGGUCACCUUUUUAGAAAUAUAAGUCUUUUUAGAAAUUUCGAUAUGAACUAUAUACGGAGUAAAAUGAGUGAAUCUACACUCUACCAUGUUUUACACACAUGCCAUGGACUGGUUGCAUUGAUAGGUGCAAGUAUACAAACACAAAAACUAAGCUAGCUGCUUGACAGCAUUUCAUCAUCAGCACUAAGGAAACAAACAGCUACAUACUGCUACCCCGACUCCUAUAACUCCCAUAGGAGUUGGGGGUACCACCCUUCUCCGUUCCCAUCCAUCAUCUCUACCGUGCUAGAAGGGAUUUGCGCGGUUCAAGAUGAAGCAGCCGUCAAUCAAUCCGUCCUCUGUCGACUGUCGUGCCACGCAACAUGCUUCCCUUCCCUCUGACUUGGAUUCUGCCGGCCGUUCCUUCUCACUAGACAAUCUUUCCUGACAUAUGUGUUUUCCACCUUCAGAAGAGCACGGAACCGCCCACAACAAGUCACUUGAGAGUUGAGUAGUACAUAGUCAUAUUCAAAGUUUCAAAUGCUCCAGUCUAAGGAUGGCUACUUCAGCUUCUUGCUCAAACAUUGAUGGGCUGACACAAGCAACUGAGAUAAAGCAAAACAGCUUGAGACCCGUCUUGCUUGCCUUCGCCCGAGGAAUCACCUGCAGGGAUCGAUCGCUUCCUACUCGAAUUUCGGCCGCUACAACAGAGAGCAGCGACGCUCACCGUCUUGAUCAUCACCGCCGUGCUCGAGACACGGGAGAGCCACAUGAGACUCCACGCGGCUCGAGGGGAAGCAAACGUGUGCCCAUCCAUCCUCUGCGUGCUGCCGGACAUGCUUCUUUCAGCUCAGAUUCUGCUCUUCAUUUUUGCAAAAUAUUCCAAAAAGAUCACAAAACCGCGACAAAUCACCUGCAAAGAAACAAAACAAAAGCUUAGGUACAUAAGCUGGGAAAUCUUCAGGUGACAACAUACACAAGUGUCCCCCCUGAGGUUGCUAGAGACCAGGGACCUUCUAAAUUCUACUACCUCUGUUUCUAAAUGUAAGACGUUUUGGCAGUUCAAACGGAGAAUUUUGAACUGCAAAAACGUCUUGCAUUUAGAAACAGAGGGUGCCUAGUAUUAAUAGCCCCCUUGAUCUAAUGGGUCAUGCUCAAAACUCCAUAGUUUACUUUAGUCAAACAACUACUCCCAACAUACAUCCCCGACCAACAUCUCUUUAAUCUGAUGCUUAAUUAACCCUAACUUUAGUAAAAUAACUACUCCCAACCAACAUCUCUUUGAUCUGAUGCUUAACUAACCCCCAACGUUUCUUAAAAAAGCAACAGAAAAAUCAUCCAGCCCCGGUGUUGAACUAGUUUUCAAACUCCUUAUAACAUGUCGAUCUCAUAUAAUGAAUGAGGUUGGAGCAGUAAAUCCUAAAUAGUUAAAUAGGCGAUCCCUACUAAUCUAUUUCUCUCAACAUGCAAACAUGCAUGUGAAAAGAUUUUCCAUUCUUCUAUGCUACUUGUGUCCAAUAAAUAUUUUACAAAACUACACAAUAAUCAAAUACAACAAAUCAUUUGUAUUUUCAGUUUUGAUACUGAUAUUAUUAAGCCAAAUACUCAUGUUACAAUCAAACAUCAUUGAAACAUAUUGCAACCAGUACCCGCAUCAAUGUGCGGGGUAUCAUCCAGUUAUUAUCAAUGUGAGACAUAAUUGGAACAGGCAGCCAGGCUCCCCCUUUUCUUCAUUUAUGCACUCAUUUCUUGUGAUAUCUUCACCUUCCGUGCAACAGUAAAUGAGUUGAACACCUCAUCGCCCGCGUGAUGGUGCACGGCCAGCACUUGGAACCCGCCACGCCCGAUAUCGUCCAGCUCCACUACAGGAUACAGGAACGCUCGCGCCCCGUGCGCGCUUCGCGCGACGAGCACCGCCCCAUCUGCCAUGUGCUUCCCCAAGUGCGCUAUGGCGCCGGCCUUCUCCUCAGACGUCAUUCCCACGAGCGCCGCCAGGAAGACCACAUAAUACGCGCCGAGCUCGGACGUGAGGUCUGCGACUUCGGUCGUGUGGAACACCAUGCGCGAUUGCACGUCCUCGUCCGUCGGCACCGACCAGCUUCCUCGCCCGGCCAUUGGCCACGCUGCACCGGUCGUAGUUGUCGAACCGGGUGUGCCAGCCGAUGUAGAGAAACAGCGGGCAGGGAAACCGGCCUGAAAAACGACACAGCGUAACCAUCAGGCGGAAGAAGUGGCCUGGAAUGAGGCAAUCUGCCCAAUUCUCGCCUGAAACGCGGUGAAUCGCAGGUUUCUGAAAUCAGACAAGUUUGUGCCAUUUUUUUACCUAAAUCUGGGCCGUUUCUAGGCAGAAUCCGGGCGUGCCUGACUCCUGUGGCAGAGAUCUGGGCGAGUGCCUUGAUCUCCUGGGCCUGGGCUUGGCUGGGCCUUGGGCUCCGUCGAUCGAUCCAGCAGAGACGACGCUCGGUGGGUCGUGGAACUCGUCGAAAGAAGAAGAAGAAGAAAAAAAGAGUCACAGCUCCAGCAGGCAACGCGUGUACGUACGUGACGCCAAGCCGUCCCGAUUGGAUGGGUGGACGCACGCACUUGUUUUCCCUUUUUUCAACUGUAUAUGUAUACGGAUGUACAUAAUAUUCAGAAAAUGUUCAGAAAUUUCGGAAAUUGUUAAUGAAGUUAUAAAAUAAUGUUCACAAUAUUCAGAAAAUGUUCACAAAUUUCAGAAAAAAAUCCCAAAUUUGAAAAAGUCCACAAAAUUCAAAAAAGGUUUGCCGUUUCAGAAAGGAUUCAUCAACUCAAAAAAAUGUUUUCCAAAAACAAAAAAUGGUCCUGAAAUUCAAAAUUGUUCCCAAAUUUCAGAAAUAUUGUUCAGAUGUUCCAAAAAUGUUCAAAAUUUCAACAAUAAUGGUGAAUUUCAAAAAUACUCAAGAAUUUGUAAAAAUAUUCUCGAUUGCAAAAAAAAAAUGUUCAUUAUUUGAAAAAUGUUUACAAUGUCCAAAGAUACUCAUUAAUUUUAAAUAUGUUCGCAAAUUAAAAAGAAAAGGAAAACAAAACCAAAAACCAAAAAGAAAGGAAAAGGAAAACAGAAAAAAAGAGGAAAAAAAACUAAAAAAGGAAAAGAAAGAAAAAAGGUUCAGGAAGGUUCUAGAAAGGUUUUCCUAUGGAGAUUAUACCAUGAAGCACUACCAACAACGAACCUUUUGAAUCAUCAACACAUGUCCACUACACGGGUUUGCGCUUUAUGUGCAUCUGAAGAUAACUGGAAACAUGCCCUCAUAGAUUGUGCUAUGGCAAGAGCUGUUUGGUCGCUGACCUCAGAAGAAACAGUGGAGUGUAUGGUUGAGAACCUGACGAUGAACGCGAAGAACUGGCUAUUCCAGAUGCAUGACAAGCUGCUGCAUGGUGAGUUCACCCGCAUGGUGAUCACGUUAUGGGCAAGAUGGUGAUCGAGAAGAAAGGCCAUAAUGAAGAGACUUUUGAAACCCCAUUCGCAACCAAUUUUUUCAUCAAGUUCUUCUUUCGGGACCUUGACAUCAUUGAUAGUAGAGUCUAUGUUCAUAGCGGGAGAGCACCANNNNNNNNNNNNNNNNNNNNNNNNNNNNNNNNNNNNNNNNNNNNNNNNNNNNNNNNNNNNNNNNNNNNNNNNNNNNNNNNNNNNNNNNNNNNNNNNNNNNNNNNNNNNNNNNNNNNNNNNNNNNNNNNNNNNNNNNNNNNNNNNNNNNNNNNNNNNNNNNNNNNNNNNNNNNNNNNNNNNNNNNNNNNNNNNNNNNNNNNNNNNNNNNNNNNNNNNNNNNNNNNNNNNNNNNNNNNNNNNNNNNNNNNNNNNNNNNNNNNNNNNNNNNNNNNNNNNNNNNNNNNNNNNNNNNNCGUUGCCGUUACUAAUGAUGGUUCUCAUGGUGCGGUAACUAUAGUUGGGAGAGAUUAGGGGGUUAACUUUCUUGGAGCCUUUGCAAUUACUUUCAGAUACAUUACAGAACCAACCACACUUGAAGCUCUGGCAGUACGAGAGGGUUUGGCAAUUGCAGAGGAUCUUUAUGUUACGCUGAUUCAAAUUUCGUCAGAUUGCCUGACGGUGGUGAAGGACAUUAUGCACAACUCAUCAGCGAUUUAUGGAGCUAUAGUGCACGAAAUAAUAGAGCGUUCGGGGAGUUUUCAUCUUGUAACAUAGUCCAUGAGUUUAGGAGCUCAAAUUUUGAGGCUCACAGUCUUGCUAAGCAUGCUUUAACCCUUGGGUUUGCCAUCCGGAGGAAAUUCUUUUCAUACCUGUAAACUUCUAGAUGGUUAAUAAAGCUUAGAAAGAGUGUCUCAAACAAAUGUUUCUUAUUUAUUACAUAUUUUUUUAAAAAUAACUAACGAUUUCGAAAAAUUGUGAAUUGUGGAAAAAAUAUUCGUGAAUUCAAAAAAUGUUCAUGGUCUGAAAAUUGUUCAGAAAAUGAUAAACACUUACGGAUUCAAAAAAUGUUCACAAUAUAAAAUAAUAUUCGUGAUUUAAAAUAAAUUUUUUUCUAUUAAAAAAUUGUUCCCAAUUUCCAAAUAUGUUGAUGAAGUUAUAAAAUAAUGUUUAUAAUUUUCAGAAAAUGUUCACAAGUUUCGAAAAUUGUUCCCAAAUUUCAAAAAAGUUCACAAACUUCAAAAAAAUGUUUGCCAUUUCAAAAAAGAUUCUUCAACUCAAAAAAAUAUUUUUCAAAAACAAAAAAUAUUCCUGAAAUUUAAAACUGUUCCCAAAUUUCAGAAAUAUUGUUCAGAUGUUCCAAAAAUGUUCGAAUGUUUUUAAAAAAUGGUGAAUUUCAAAAAAUUUCAAUAAAUUGCAAAAAUGUUCUCAAUUGCAAAAAAAUGUUCAUUAUUUGAAAAAUGUUUACGGUGUCCAAAGAUACUCAUUAAUUUUAAAUAUGUUCGUAGAUUAGGAAAACAAAAACCAAAAAAGGAAAAAAAACAAGAAGAAAGAAAAAGGAAAACAGAAAAUAAAAAGAAAAAGGAAGAAAGGAAAAGGAAAAGAAAGAAAAAAGGUUCAGGAAGGAACUAGAAAGGGCGAGGGUUACUUUUCAUUUCAUUGCAUAUUUCUAUGAAAGGUAUAUAUAUGCCUACUAUUAAAGGGAGGUGAUAUUAUUGGUCCGUCACAAUAAUUUGUAGAAAACCCCUGACUUUUUUGGGAAUUAACCUGCAGUAAAAAAGAGCAUUCGAAGUGUUUCUUCAUAUCGUGCAUGUCUGUUACCUCUUGUGGUCCAACGAAAACUCCAUGCGGGCCUGGAAACAAUGUAGACGUCCCAUUGUUUGUAUUCCUAUCAACUCGGCGGCAUAAAUGAUACCAUUCUAGUUCUAAUUCCAAAGGUAAAAAAUCCAACACUGCUUUCACAGUUCCGUCCAAUUAGUUUGUGCAAUGUACUCUAUAAGAUUGCCUCGAAAGUCAUCUCCAACAGACUGAAACAAAUACUGCCAGAUAUAAUUUCUGAGGAGCAGUCAGCUUUUGUCCCAGGCAGAUUAAUUACUGAUAACAUAAUUACUGCUUAUGAAUGUUUACAUUUCAUGAAGAGGAACAGGGCAAAAAAGCAUCAAUCCUGUGCCUUGAAGCUGGACAUGACUAAGGCAUAUGACAGGGUUGAGUGGACAUACCUCCAAGCUAUAAUGCUUAAAUUGGGGUUCAAUAGCAGAUGGGUGGAUAUUGUGAUGGGCCUGAUUACUUCGGUACAAUUUUCAGUCAUGUUUAAUGGGAAAAAGCUUCAGCAGUUCUCGCCUUCACGUGGGAUACGACAAGGGGACCCGAUAUCUCCAUACUUGUUCUUGUUAGCAGCAGAGGGCCUUUCGUGCCUCCUAAAAUCAAAAAGUGAGUCAUCCAACUUGAGUGGAGUACAGGUGGCUCCUACGGCACCACAAGUGAACCAUCUCCUAUUCGCUGAUGACAGCCUGCUGUUCUUCAAGGCAAACGGUGUGGGUGCUACCGAGGUGAACCAGCUGUUAGAGGUUUAUAGCCAGGCGACAGGUCAGCGCAUUAAUUAUGCAAAAUCUUCCAUAUUUUUUAGCAAAGGGGUUCCUGACAAUAUUAGGGUCGAGAUAAAAGGCAUCCUCAAUGUCCCGAACGAAACUUUAAGUGAGAAAUAUUUGGGUAUGCCAUCUGACGUUGGAAGCUCAAAAAAUGGUGCAUUCAGAUACUUGAAAGACAGGUUGUGGAGCAAAAUCCAGGGCUGGAUAGAGAGGACUAUGUCAACAGCAGGGAAGGAAGUUCUUGUCAAAUCGGUAGCGCAGGCCGUUCCGGUGUUUUCCAUGUCUUGCUUUAAGCUACCCAGGGGUCUUUGUGAACACCUAAAUAUGCUUAUAAGAAAAUUUUGGUGGGGGAGCACAAAUGGGCAACGUAAGCCACAUUGGGUGUCGUGGAAGGCAAUGACACAACCCAAGAGUAUGGGAGGACUGGGAUUCAAAGAUUUCGAGCUUUUUAAUUUGGCAAUGUUGGCCAGACAAGCAUGGCGCUUGCUACAGGAUCCAGGUUCGCUGAGUGCAAGAAUAUUGAAAAGUGUUUAUUUCCCAGACACAUCAAUCUUGUUGGCGACGUUAGGUAAUCACCCAAGCCAGAUUUGGAGGUCCAUCAUUGAAGGUCGGGACACUUUGAAACAAGGGCUGAUCAGGCGUAUUGGCAAUGGUAACAGCACGAAAAUCUGGGAGGAUAACUGGCUACCUCGCGAGGAGAUGAUGAGGCCAUACGGAUGUAUAUCAGCCAACCCCCCGGUCAUGGUUUCAGAACUUAUCAACGAAACAAAUGCCACAUGGAAUAUACCGCUACUGAAUGCCACUUCCAUGACAUUUGAUGCGACGGUAAUUUCAGGCAUCCCACUUUGUACCAUGAACAUGCAGGAUUUUUGGAGCUGGGCACAUGACCGAAGCGGACAGUUCUCGGUACGUUCGGCCUAUAACAUGCUCGUUGCGACAAGACAGAGAAGAGAAGCGUGGCUUGAAGGAUCGGCGGGAUCAUCAACCUUUCGCACCGACGAAGGAUCAUGGAAAACACUAUGGAAGACGGCGGUCCCGUCCAAAGUGCGUAUGUUCUUGUGGAGGUUAUCUAAGCAAUCCUUACCCACCGAGGAUGUGAGAGCACACCGUAAAAUGUCGACAACAAGUACAUGUGGCUUCUGUGGGGCUCAAGACUCAUGGCGGCAUUCCCUCCUACAGUGCACGGUUUCAAGAUGCACAUGGGCAUUGGUCGACGAAGAGAUGAGUUGCACCCUCGCGUCCUCCACAGAAACGAGUGCCAAGAGCUGGCUUUUUAGCCUGCUUGAUACAUUACCGCAUGAUAAGUUUGUCCUACUGGCGGUGACCCUAUGGGCAAUAUGGACAGCACGACGAAAGGCCAUUCAUGAGGCGAUUUUCCAAACUCCACAUGCAAUACAAAUGUUCAUCACCCGGUUUCUUGCAGACCUGGAAGCUAUCCGUACUCCUAAUCCUACACGGGCUCCGUUGGCAAGGACAGGUACUUUGAUACAGCGGCCGCGGGCACCUCCAGCAACAUACGCCAAAAUCCAUGUUGACGCCGGAGUACGCACUCGCAGAGGAGGAGCAGCCGUAGCCGUGUGCAGGGAUACCCAGGGCUUGUUCUUGGGUAGUUCGGCACUUGUCAUUCCAGGAGUUUGGGAUCCAGCCACACUGGAGGCGAUGGCAUGUCGGGAGGGCAUCACAUUGGCAGAAGAUCUUAAUAUUCGGAGGUUUGUGCUGUCGUCUGAUUGCAAGCAGGUAAUUGGGGACAUUGCCAAAGGAAACAAAGGACCCUACGGUGCCAUCAUCACGGAAAUUAUCUCUAGAUCGUCACCACUAUCUUGUACCUUUACUUUUGAAAGUCGUCGUUGUAAUUUCGAAGCUCAAAAGUUAGCUAAAUUUGCUUUGUCUUUAGCUCAGGGGCGUCAUGUAUGGCUUGGCCAGCCGCAUGACCAAACAUGUAUCCCACUUUCUGUGGAUUUUGAAUAAAGUGGCUUUACCCCUCAAAAAAAAAAAAUCAACUCGGCGGCCACAGGAACUCCGCUCGCACAUGCCUACCUGGAGUAGCAAACAAAGUUUCAAAAAGAACGAGAAAAGGUUAAAUCAUGUAUUCAUCCGCCUCCUCGAUCAAUCGUCAGUGUUGCCAUGGACAUGCCAUCGUGUUGGGAGUUGAUCAUGUCGGCCCUAUCGCCAGCGAGCACAAGGGCACGGGAGGUGGAGCUGUGCCUGCGCGAGAUAGCUAGCUAGACGCGAGACAAUGUCGUGAUUUCCCUGCGCUCGGCCAUGCAGCGUCUAGCCAAGCGAGCGGAACAUGAAGCGCGUACGAUGACGGGAAGUACAAGUCAUACGACGUCAAGGUGGAAAGCAUGAGAAAGUGACAACACAGAUGAAUUGCUAGGGGCGAAGAGGAGAUGUGGCAAUACCGAUGGAUCACUAGGGCCAUGCGAGUAUUUGCUUCUCCCGUUACAGUGCACAGACACAUUUGCUAGUUAAGCAUAAUAGAAAUAACUUGUCUAUUAUAGUAGGAACAGAAAAAGAGAUACAGUACGUGCGUGGUGCACUAACAGAAAACCAUGCAUGGCCGUGGAUGCCCCUCCGAUCCCGAAGCAUUCAUUGCUUAUUACUUCCUCCAUUCGAAAAUACUUAUCGUCAAAAUGGAUGUAUCUAGUACAAAGUAAAUCAUAACAUAGACGAUGGACUUUGUUUAUUUAGUACGCAUAUAGCGGCAGCCAUAUGCAUGCAUUACUUAUGUGAUCUUUUCUUCGCUGGUGUCGAUGUCGACAUCAGUGGACUUGGCACCCCGAUAGACGCCAUCAUGCAACUGGCGAGGGGGAACUACUUCCCCACUGAGCAGAACAUCCUUCUGCAUGUACGAGAAGGGAACAUCAACGACGUCCUCUCUUGAAAAUAUGCUGCAUGUCACCUUAGUCAUGGGAGGCACAGGAUAUGAGUAUUCUAUGGAGCGCUUAGUUUCUUGUAUCUUGGUUUCACCCCAAUUAUACUCUCCAUGAAAGUCAAGAUGACUUUCAACAUCGCCUUCCAUCAGGAAUGGCAAGCCGGCUGACAACUUGGCCUUGAUACCUACGUCGAGUGUUAACUUGGCAUCCCAGGUACUCUCUAUUCUGUCAUACAGUUCGAUGGUGGUUUGGGCGUUGUGGGUUUCAUGUGUUCUGUUGGUAGCAAGCACAAGGGUCCUGGAGACAUUUUUGUUGGUGCUGGUCUUCUUUCCCCCAACGCGGUACUCGACAUCAUAGAUUUCUCGAGAACGGACCGGUUCUUCAAUCUGGAACGUUGCUUCUUUCGUAUUGCCAUCGUCGGAAGAAGCAUGGAAGUAAUCUAUCUUGUCGUCGAUGGUUACCCUCCUGCAAAAUUUGCCGUUGCCAUGGGAUAGGACUGCAAUGUAGUUGUCAUCCUUGAUGACCACCUUGAACAAACAGUCAACCAUUCCGUAGUCCCUGCUGCCUAUGUCGGCCAUCAUCCAAUUUACAGCAUGGCCACCUUCAAGGCCACGCCUCCAAUACACUUUUGAGGCAACUUGUUUUAUAUAGACGACGCCAUACUCGUCGGUAUAGGUCUCUUGGAUCACAGUUGGAUCUGCAAUAUCAGACGAUGAAAACACCAGAAAGAUAUCAACUGAUGUUUCGUGUGCUGUGAGGUACUUGCCAUUGUCGCCUUUGAAGACAACAUACUUGGGCAGUUCCUUGUCGUGUGACAAGCGACGAACACUGAAGAGACUCAUAUUAGAACUAUCAGCUUCUAGGUUAUCUCUUAGUUGCAAGUAGGCUUUGCCUGGACCAGACACAGAAAGCAUGCAAGCAUACUUCUUUUGCUGGGAAUGAAAGAACCUGUUGUACAGAAAUAAAAAAAUUGUAUUAGAUCAUGCCUUAAUUCCAAGUAAGUUGCAUGCAUGGCAGCCAUUGCCAUCUAUCUAAGUGGAAACUUCAAAGGAAUCCAUACGUUACAAAAAAAAUCAUAUACUAAUGUGCAUGUAAAUUAGAAGUGGUAAAUACGAAGAAAAGGGAGUGGGGAGUUAGAGCAUCUCUACUCGAUCUCUAAAAAUUUAGGCCCUUAUACGGGCGGCCCCUUAUAUCCUAACUCCUUAAUCGGUUAAAUAAUGACGGUUCCAAGCCAAACCCCUAACUUAACUCCAUAUAGCUUCGAAAAUGUUAACGCCCACACGUGUGGGCGUUUGCACCCCUCCAUCACCACUCAUUUUGCCACGUAUGAAUAGAUGACAUCAGCAGAAUUUUUUUUGGUUUCAGCUUAAAAAUGUUGUAUCUCCUAAAUAAAAAAGCGAACUAAAAAUCCGUUUUCACCAUUAAAUCCGUCUCGACGAGAUCUUCAAAACUAGACCCCAUGUUGAUAUGUUUCGACGAAAUUUUUUUUUGCCCAGAAGUUGCCAUGAUGUUUACACUGUAGUUGCCAUAGGGCUUAAACUAAAGUGGCCAUGUGACAAUUUUAGUUUGUAGAUCAUGGCAAUUUUAGUAUUUUGAUGAUGGCAAUUCCAGUACUUUAACCAUGAAAAUUAUUUUUUGUAUAAACCAUGGCAAUUUUACGUGCAUGUAUCAUGGCAAUUUUAGUUUAUGGUUCAUGGCAAGUCUAUUUUCUUAAUUCCCCGUUUUAUAAAUGUCAAAAAUUACUUUUAAAUGUAGAAGAAAAUAGCUGAAACAUAUCAUGGCAAUUUCAGUGUAAAUAUCAUGGCAAUUCAUAUCCAAUAGACAUAGCAACUUUUAAUCCAAAAAAAAAUCAUCAAAACAUAUCAACAUGGGAUCUAGUUUCGAAUAUCUCAUCGCGAGAGAUUUAAUAGUGAAAACGGAUCUUCAAUCGGAUUUUUCGUUUAAAAGAUAAAACAUUUUAAAAACUGAAAAUCCAAAAAGAUUCCUACAUGCAUGCAUGCGAUGACGUGGCAAUCUGUUUGCAUUAGAGACGUGUGGUGCGUCUCCCUUCCUGCCACACGUGUGGCAGUUAGGGGCGUCCUAUAGCUUACAUUUGGCUCAUGCAUUUCGUCAAACACUUGCAAUGCAACACCUCGAUCUUCUCUACGACGUCACUGGUGCGCCUGCAUCGCCACCAUCUGCCUUUGCCAACCUCAUUCCCGGUCAUUGGCAACAUCCCUGACAUGUUCCAUGGAGGCGAGCUGCACCGUGUGCUCAAUCGCCAGUCAGUGUCCUACGGCCCUGUCAUGUCUUCCAUGAAGCUCGACAUGGCAAGCACCGUCGUAUUGUCGUCCCAUGUUGCAGCGCACGAGGCGCUCCACAAGGAGGGUGUCCUCUCCUCCCUGUACGUCCCCGACAACGCCAGUGUAAUGGACCACACCGACAUUUUCAUGGUGAGGGCGUACCUUGGUGAGCACCCUACUCUUCAAAUCCCCAUGGCUCGACGCUAGUCGCGCCAUCCAUGAGCGCAAGCCCGGGAGCUCGUUGAACACUUCCACAUGAGCUUUGUGUUCCCGGUGCAUAUCGCGCUCUCUCUGUUGAGCAUCGUGCUCAAUUUGAUGUCCAUCGCUCUAUGCUCGGAGGCGAGCCAGGGCCGGUGACCAGGCAGGAGUUCAUGGAGUUGAACGCAGACUCUGUUGUGGAGACUCGUCGGCAGGGGGAAGAAGACAAAGGAGAUGGGAGAGAGAGAGAGAUAUAGGAGGCGCGCAAGAGGCAGAGAAAAAACUGAGGGACGGGUGGCGGGAGGAGCCAGGGCGGACGCGCGGAAGGAAAGGGGAGGUGUGGGCUAUACCUGGCCAUACCUCCGGCUGUAGAUGCUCGAAUAAUAUAUAAAAAGGGACUUUUUACGGUACAUCUUACUACCAGAAACAAUGGGUAGUAUAUAAGCGAUCCGAUGGUCAUUAUUAAUCUCAAUUUUUUUCUCUGCAGGACAUUUUGGUAAUUGCCUGUUAGAAGAUUUGUCCUUUCUUGCUGUUAUCAUUGUAAUGAUUAAUAAGUAUUCUAUAUGAGUAAUUGCAAUUGACACCUGAAGAAAAGAAUUAUCCCUCGUCUUAGUUCGUAGGUUGGCCCCUCGUUCUCACACAGUGCGUAAGUUUACCCCUCAUCUCCGUACAGCUCGUCAUUAUUCUGUCGACGCAGGCGCUCCAGCAGCCGACGGGCGCGCAGGGCCGGCCGCUGCGUCUCCCGGCCUGUAGUCGCCACCUCAAGAUAUUCGACGGCGCAGCCGCCCCACGGCCCUUGUUUCGGCUAGUUCCUACCGAGAUCGAUCCAUCGGCCGGCUGCUCGUAGCUGUGUACGUGCAUCUUCAAGCCAGGGGAAGAAUCGAUCAAGGAGCCUACUAGUCUGCUUCGUGUAUACGUCUACCUCUCCGACGGAACCGAUUAGCUCUCUCUCCGUUGUCGAGGUCGAUCGGGCCUGUGCCAACAGCCCUCUCUCCGUGGCACGUUCUUCAGACAGCGCCUUAGAUCGGUUCCUCCGCACGUCGUAGUGGAGAUCCCUCACAUAUAUAGCUGGCCCUGCUGGUGCUCCCAAGACGCCAUAGCUGCGUUUUUCCUAAAUAGAACUACCGAAAUUGUCCCUGAUCACAAAUUAUACUAUCAAAAAUCUGCAGUAGUAUUUUUAAAUCUGGGCUGUCCAAACACAUAAAAUAAACGGCCAAUAUUAGUCUGAUGUACUGUAAAAUGUCUCUAUAAAAACCAGAUAAUGUGCCGAGAAGAAAUACUAUGUCGAAAUCUUAUGAAAGUGUACGGGAUAAUGUAGAGUAGUAUAUAUGUAUACACAUUGCUGAAACAUAACCAUAUUUUGCUGAAACAGCACUAUGAAUUAGGCAGUCAAGAAAAUGGGGAGGGCCAAAUAUAGGGAAGUGACAAGACAGACAGAAGAAGAUAUACUCCAGUGAAGAGUACCUGGCGGUGCGUUUGGUGGUAGAGUCAGGCCUGAAGUCGAACAAGGUGCAGGACGGCUUGGUCAGGUCCUCCUCCGGUUCAUCUGCGGUGGCACAGAUGAACCAGGUACUGCCGCCGCCGCCGGGCGCGCGUAGCUGCUGGGCGACCCAGUAUUUGUCGCCGUCGGAGCAUCUGACGUGCAGGAGCCCGUCGUGUUUCUUGGACGGCUCCAGGUAGAACUUCUCGGCUGGGGUGGUGGCGCGGAGGACGACGUAGCUUAGCUCGAUGUAAGUGGCGGCCGUUGCUUGGUCAUAGACGGAGCGCAGGCACCCCGGACGAGACGGAUCCCCCAAGGUAGCGCACACCGGAGGGCCCGAGAGAGGAAAUACCACGGGCGGUAGCACCACUGAAGGAUCAGCCAUCCAGGGGCCUGCAUUUCUCCAGAUACUCCUAUCCAUAGUAUUUCUCGCGUGCCGUGCGCUUGUGAAUUUUCAAGCUGGGGUGCUCAGACUAGCAGCCUGGCUAGGUAUUUUAUAGCAGGAGCUAGCCCCAUCGCCCGGGACCAUUAGCGCAAAUAUAUUUUUCGAUAAAGGGCGGUUUUAUUAGAGCAAAAAUAUAUAUGGACCCUAAUAAGUGUUACAUGUGUGGCACGAAUACAUUACAUUUUUAAAUGUUUUUUAUGACAAAUUUAGUGACGUGAGGAUGGCAAAUAUGAUUUUUUUAAAUGUCAACUUUAACUGUAAAAAACAAACAUAGAAUGCUUCAUGUCACACGUGUGUCACUUAUCAUUUGGGAUAUAUAUUAAGAGGCUUAGACUAUCCAUAGUCUAAUUCGCAUCACGGGCUGCACCGACCGCUACUUUCGAUCGCGUGCGCUAUAUAGCAGUUUUAUCUAGCGUGCGGCUUAUUUAGGGCAUCCGUUGAAGAUGCUCUGACCCCGCAAAUCAAGUGCGUUCAAUUCGCGUCACGGGGUAGUACACAAGUUUUAGAUUCUUGCAACAUUGAAGCGACGUUGGGCCACUCCUGAUUUAAUCUUUCAGAUCUGGAUCUUGGCCUUGUCCUUCCUAGCGGCCGGUAGGCAAACAAAACGUGGCAGCGUUUUUGUUUGUGGCAAUCAUUUGUGGUCACUGCCUCGCCUGGCCAACUUUGUCCACGGCAGACUCAAACAAAUGCCGGACAGAUGCUCCCGCGUUACUCGUGUCCGAUCGACCAGCUAGGCUCAAAUUCACAUGCUCUUUUUUGAAGCUUUUCUCUCAUCAAUUUGGGCAGCAAGACGUAAGGACAUUCACCAAAGUAGUAUAUUUCAGAGUGUUUUUUUUAGAAAAGGAGGAUGUACCUCCGGGGCCUCCGCAUAUGUACGAUGCAUGCAGCUAGACCUGUAGCGCGCCUCGGCGUGCGGUGCCGGGUAUUGCCGAUUGUGCCUAAGUGUGCAUGCCCGGCAUACUGUAAUUGUAAUUUUGCGGUAAGCUUAGCAUGUUUUUUUUAGCACGCCCAUGAUAAAGCACAAGUAUUUAGCUUAUUCAAGAGCAAUUAGGGCAUAAAGUUCAGUGUUAAAGAGUAGCAAAAGUGACCAAAGUGACAGCGGGAUAAAUACAGAGCAAGCAACACAAUUAGAAACCAGAGACAACGCUAACACAGAAUGCUUUAAGUACGGGAUUUUCAUACAAAGCAAUUAAGGUCUGAGAGAACAUCCAUCAGUUUUGAUGCAACAUGAUAUUCAGAGCAAGGCAUUCGUACAGAAGGUGAAUGGUCGAAGAGAAAUUAACUGAAACGGCUUGGUAGCUAGUGGUAUAAUACAUAGUUGGGCAGUAGCAUCGCCGAAGCAAGUGGUUCAUAAAACACUGGUUUGUAGUACUGAUUACAAAUAACGUACAAUAAGGCUGGACAGGUGCACACUGUACUAAUUCAGAACACUCUUGUUGCACUGAAUAAGGCUGGACUGCAGCAAUCAUGCGUCGUGAUUCAGAGACAGUCAAGCAAAGUAUGAUACUUGAGCAAAGCUUGCUGAUAAACCAAAAGGGCCUGGAUUUCUUCCUGUGCCCGAAGCAUCAAACAUUCUCGUCGUAGAGAAAGUCUUCAACAUCGAAGCGGCUUGCACCACUCGUCCUCAAUAUAAUGUACAUGAAGCAACAUAUAGGUUAGGCACAAGUAGUUGUAUGUACAGGAAUAUCACAAUGUGCGCUCAGUCAUAUCACAAUGUAUAACAGUAGUUGUAUGUACAGGAAGCAACAUAUAGGUUAGGCUCAAGUAGUUCUACCAAGGCAUACUAUUAGUACUAGAUAGACUGGUUCGAUUGGCUUGUCAAGGAGCUUUUUUAUGAAUAAUACGAUUAUGCUAAUAUAACAUUUUGAGAGUUAUUUAUCCAAAACCACCACACUUGGGGCUAUGGUAACAACUUGGUACCAGAUUUGCGCCAGGGCACAAAAAACCACCGAAAUUGUGCCUAACAUGUAACGCGGAGCACUGAUGCUGGGAUUUGGUCGCGAAAACAGCCAAACCGACAAGUAGGGCCCGCCUGUCGGGCUGACGUGGCGAAGACCAAAAAAUUUGACCAACUGAUGUGGCAAAUGAGGCGUGGGCCCUACCUGUCAAUGACUAGAGAGUCAUCUUCUUCACAACAUUUUUUCUAUGGAGCAUUCCAACGAACACCUUGUCUGCGUUCAUCCUCUAGCCAUUGAAGAAGGCACAAUACGCCAUGGCCACGCCGGAGCAGCGACCAGAGGAACGGCGAGUCGGACUUCUCCAUCCCGUCCGCAGGCUCACGCAGCUCUUCCUAUCCUCCUACCAAUUACCAAGGUGGUGGCCACCUUGCCGAAGCUUUCAUACGACGGCGACGUGGACAAGGUGCCGGGCAAGCCAAGUUGUGGCUGCGUGGGAAGGGACGAGUGGCUCACCUUGAGCACGUAUGAGUGCUCGGACACGCCGACGCCAUGAAUGAGCACACCUGCGUGAAGAAGAAGGCGAGGUCAUGCUCGUCGUCGUCCAUGGAGGCCGCCCGUCGCGCUGCCCGACGCAGUCGCCCUACCCAGGCAGCGCGGGAGCUGCGCGUCCUUGCUGGCCCUGCCCGCAGGCCAGCACGCCGACGGCAAGCGUGAUGUGGCCCUGGGCUAGCUCGAGCAGGGCUCGGCUACUGUGGCCAUGGUGGCCAUGGAGCUCUCGGCUCGGCCGUCCAUGCCGGCGGGGGCGGCGGCGGGAUUCGAGGGUUGGUGACGUGUAGGGAAGAGGCUGAGGCAGCCUGGGGCAAGCUUGAGCAGGGGCUCGGCUUCCAUGGCUAUGGAGCUCUCGGCUCGCAUGGGGUAGAGAUGCUCGGACAAGCCGCUCGAUGCAAUGCUCCAAAGAAAUAAAGAUGAACACGUAGUCAAUGACAGGCGGGACCCGCAUGUCAUCUGCCACCUCACCUAGUCAACACUUUUUUUAUGUGCUUGGUCUUCGCCACGUCAGCCCAACAGGCGGGCCCUACUUAUCAGUUUGGUUGUUUUCGCGACCAAAUCCCAGCAUCAGUGCUCCGUGUUACAUGUUAGGCAUAAUUUCGGUGGUUUCUUGUGCCCUGGCACAAAUCUGGUACCAAGUUGUUACCCUAGCCCCAAGUGUGGUGGUUUUGGGUAAAUAACUCACAUUUUGAUGACAACACACAACCGAGUGUGUAAACACAAACAAAAUAGUGUUCUACAUUACUAAAAUGUGUACUGUAACACCAGCUAUCAAUAAGCAAACUAAACAUCAUAUCAGGUAAAACAAAUAUAGAGCUCACCAACUCAGCAACCAUCAUUAGAAGAGAUUCAUGUCUCGCAACUCAGGAAAAUACAAUGAAAUUUUUUUGUGCACUGAUGAACUUGCUUGAGAUACAGAAUGGUUGGCACAACUGUGACAUCAAAAUAGUAACAAUUAAAACUUAAAAGUCCAGCUUAAUUUAAAAUAUCUAAACAGGUAAAAUAAGAAAUAAAGGCCCUGUACAACAAAUGAAAUUAGUUCUCUUAUUCGUGAUAGGUGAUCUGAAUCUAAAAGUAGUGUUGAGAUUCACGAACCAACCGAAACUAAAUAACAACCUACUAUGUCUUAAAAGCAUAGUCUAAUAACCGAACUCCCGAUUAUCAACAUCAAAGAAAUCAUGAGCUAUUCCAACAUUCCAUGGCUAUUUUUAGAGUUGACAACAUUUCCAGUUUGUUAGACCCUCGAUAUGGCUAUAGCAGCGAGCAUAUUGUACUAACGGGAUAGUUUACUGUUGUGACUAAUGUGAUAACUGAUUGUUAAUGGGACAAUAUUUUGAAGGAUAGCAUUCCCAUUAUUUUGUAAUGGGAGUGGCAUUGCCACUUUGUUUUUGAGCAUCUUUAUUAUUACUUGACUGGAAAGCGAAAGAUUGUGUGCAUUAUUGUUCCACAUGCUCGACUGCAACUCCGACAUUUUUUUGAGCCUCGAUUUGGUGAUGAAGGCAUUACCAAAAAGAUCACAAGAUAAGCGAACCAAUUAAAGUCUCAAUAUGCAAACAUGCAACCUCAACAUGCAACCAUGUAUGAGAAAAGGCCACCUCAACAUGCAACCAUGUAUGUCAAAAGAUUUUCCAUUCUUCUAUGCUACUUGUAUCCAAAUAAAUAUUUUACAACUAUAUAAUAAUCAAAUACAAUACAUCAUUUCUAUUUUCAGUUUCAAUCCAAUAUUAUUAAGCCAAAUACUCAUGUUUGAUACAACCAAACCUCAUUGAAACAUAUUGCAACCAGUACCCGCAUCAAUAUGCGGGUUAUCAUCCAGUUAUUAGGCUGGUCGUAAUGGUAGUAUCAUAAGUAGUACUCCCUCCGUUUCUUUUUACUCCGCAUAUAAGAUUUGGUCAAAGUCAAACUAGACAAAGUUUGACCAAAUUUAUAUAAAAAAUUAUGAACAUCUACAAUAUUAAAACUAUAUAGUAUGAAAAUACAUUUUGUGGUGCAUCUGAUAAUAUUGAUUUCAUAUUGUUAAUGUUUAUAUUUUUUAAUGUAAAAUUAGUCAAACUUUAUAAAGUUUGACUUUGACCAAACCUUAUAUGCAGACUAAAAAGAAACGGAGGGAGUAUCAUGCAUGCCAACUAGGCAAUUUUAAUGAGGUGUCAUAGCAUUAAAUGAAGAAAGAGAGGGUGUAGUAUCAUAUCAUGAUACUGUAUCAUAUUAAAUGCUAAGAUAUCUUGUAUCAUGCAUGGCAAUAAAUAGAGUACUACAUGAUACUAAUAUAUGAUACUAUGCAUUAGGAACGUAGUAUCAUAUACUAGUAUCAUAUGCAUGAUACUAGUAUAUGAUACUCCCCAUUACAUCAGCCUUAUCAAUGUGAGACACAAUUGGCACAGGCAGCCAGGCUCCCCCUUUUCUUCAUUUAUGCACUCAUUUCCUAUCAUAUCUUCACCUUCUGUGCAACAAUGAAUGAGUUGAACACCUCAUCACCUGCAGGGUGGUGCACGGCCAGCACUUGGAACCCGCCACGCCCGAUAUCGUCCAGCUCCACUACAGGAUAGAGGAACGCUCGCGCCCCGUGCGCGCUUCGCGCGACGAGCACCGCCCCAUCUGCCAUGUGCUUCCCCAAGUGCGCGAUGGUGUUGGCCUUCUCCUCGGACGUCAUCCCCACGAGCGCCGCCAGGAAAACCACGUCGUACGCGCCGAGCUCAGACGUGAGGUCCGCGACUUCGGCCGUGUGGAACGGCAUGCGCGAGCGCACGUCCACAUCCGCCGCGCCGACCAGCUUCAUCGCCCGGCCAUUGGCCACGCUGCACCGGUCGUAGUUGUCGAAGCGGGUGUCCGGCAGGUGGUAUGUCGCGAGGAAGAGCGAGCUGAACGGCAGCGGCCCUGACCCGAUGAACGCCACGCGGGCCGGAGCCGCCAUGUGACCGGCCAGAAGGUCGUUCUCGAGCUUGCUCAGGUUGAUGUAGUUGUCAAAGUAAGGGAAGCGGCCGAGGUGGUCGAGCGGGCUGUCCAAGGCGGUGAGCAUGUCGGAGUAGUGCGCCUCGAGCAGCCCCUCGGCGGUUGAGCACAGGCGGAUGAGGUCCUGCCGCAUCUCCUGCGCCUCCGGGCCGAGCUUGGUCACGUCCACCGGGCUCGACGGGACGCACGCCGCGACCAGCUCGGUGAAGAGCGCGUCGACUUGAGGGGACGGGCUUAGCGACGGGAGCUUGGAGAUGGCGGCGUGGAAGCCGGUGAUCUUCUCGACCAGAGCAGCCACCUCGCUGUUUUCGGCCUCCAUGUCACUUGAUUGCCAAGUAGGUAUGGCUGGUGUUGUAGUGCUGUUCUGAAAAACAAAUGUAGGCUGUAGUGCUAUGAUGGAGCUGAUGCUUGAUACAAUAUGAAGGGAAAAAAAUCAAUGGAAUUGCAAUUGAUUGAGCAGUUUGAUGAGCUGUGGAGGGUGAGGGGUCGUAUGUAGCAUGGAAAUCGUAUGCGAGGCGCGCUUCAUGCUUGCACAGACGUGACGGCCUGUUUCGCGCCUCUAAUUUCCGACAUGCGUCAUUGCAUCUUGCUGACAAGCUCAUGAUUUGGUAGCUAGCUUGACAAUAUACCUAAUAAAUUUGGAGUGGGGGGAUAGGCCGAUAGGUGGAUAAAUUUAGUCUCUGGCAUGUGCCUACGAGCCAACCUCUGUUGAAUAUUCACUCGGAUCUGAAGAAAAAUGGCAGAAUAGAGUUGUUCUUUACUGAAUAAAUUAGGAUCUUUCUCUACCAAAUUAGAGCGCACAGUCAUUCUUCUAUUGAUGUUCCCAGAAAUUCAGUUCACCAGGGAACACCUUAAGUUGAAUGUGAUUUUAUUUUGUCUAAAUCAGUACUCAAUAUAGAGACAGUGGACGGUGGGAAACCGACUGAACUGGCGAUGCGGGCACUGAAAAAGCUUCAGUAGCACAGUAGCACUGGCCUUACCCGUAGCAGCCGGCCGGCCGGCGUCUGCUCCCGCUCCCGCUCCACCGCUAGUCCCCCUUCAGCCGUUCGCGGCCGCACGAAUAUCUCUCCGUCGUGGGGGGAGGACGGCGACCUUCUCGGGCCCCCGAAGCGGAGGAGGGCACCGGCUGCGUCGCGGCGGGAUGACGCCGCCGUCUGCAGCGGGGAGGCGAAGGCAGGGAUGACGGUGCGGGGAGGCGGCCGGGAUCAGCUCCGUCGCGCUGCAGGUGGUGGCCGGAUUUCAGAUCGGGAGCGCUUCUUUGGCUGGAGGUUGGAGAGAGGAAUGGGGGAGAGGAGAAACCGAGCUUGACCAAAGGCGCAUAUCGUCAGUAUGAUUUUUCUUUUGAUCGACGGAAUAUUAUUAUUCCAGGAGUUGGGCUGGAUUAUUCUAUAAAGGAGUUGGGCUGGAUGGGCUAGGCUAUGGUACCAACUUACAUGUGUGAUUGACAGCCUGCACGAUGCAGCCACCCUUGAGGCGUUAGCAUGCCGUGAAGCUUUUGCGCUGGCGGAAGACCUGUCAAUCCAUGAUUUUGUCAUCGCCUCAGAUGCGAAGCAAGUUGUUGAUGAUAUAAACAAGAGAAGCAGAGGCAGCUACGGUUCGAUCGUCACUGAAAUCAAUGCUAGGUCUGAAAUGUAUAAUUGUAGAAUCACUUAUGAGGGACGUUUAUCAAAUAAUGAUGCUCAUAAUUUAGCUAGAUUUUCUGUUAGAUUAUCUCAGGGGCGCCAUUUGUGGCUUUUGCAACCCCAUGAUGCUUCCUGUAUCCCACAUAAUGUGGUAUUCGAUGAUGAAUAAAGCGAUUUACCACCCCUCAAAAAAAAAUCUCUUAUUUCUUUCUUCUACCAACAGACAGGUGGGGUCCACAAGGUAAAAGUGGACGUGGGUUGUCAAUGCCGUGGUAAGCGCCACGUGGCCAAUUUGGUCGAUGAACAGAGUACCACGUAGACUAUAUGACUGGUGAACAAAGCGCCACGUGGCCAAUUUGACCGAUCAGUAGAGUGCCACGUAAAGUAUCUACGUGGUUAACAGAGUGUAAUACGAUGCUCUACGGUGAGCCAGUGCUCGUAUACUUACCCCAAAACGUAUAUAAUGACCGAAACUAGCGUAUUCUGAAGUCCAGUGACCGUAUCAUGUUUUCGCUUCAAAUAUAGUGGCCAGCAGUGUAUUUAUGUCAUUACAAUACUAUCAUGCCAUUUAGCAUUUGCAUUGAGUACUUAUUUUUUAAAACUUACCAUUUCCUUCAAUUCCUCUUGAAAUUGAUACUUUUAUUUUAUUUUUAAAGAUCUAUAAUUGACCUCGUACACUUGUCCGGUAGUGGGAUAGUGGGUGUGUUUUAGUCCUAUUAUUUAAGCUCAUGUGCGUGAGAAGAAAUACAAGAAACGACACAAGAUGUGUGCGUGCCAUGACUCUGUGUGUGUUCUUCUACCUCUUGUGUGCGUGUGUUUUUCUUUCUUCUCCUGGGCAAACCCCACAGUGGAUUAAUUAGGCGCCACAUUUAAUCUUAGUUGUGCCUUUAUCUGCUUAUUAUGCGCAAAUGAUGUCACACCAAAUGGGCCGUGUGUGAGAUUUCAUUUUCAAAUUGUGAAACUGCUAGUUGGGAACCAUUCAACUCCACGAAUAGGGAAUACCCCGAACUUGUAUAUGGAGCCGACAUGUAUUCGGAAUCCAAUGAUAAAUACAUUCUAGAUAUAAUUUAAAUGCAAUCUUCAGAUACAUAUACAGGGAUCAAAGUUUUUUUUCCCUUCUAUUAAGAAAUAUAGGAUCCUGAUUCGAACAAGAAUAUGGCAGUCCACACCACUACAAGUUGAGAAAAAGAUAGUAAGACCAUAUAUUAAUCAAGUAAAUAAAAUACAUUCGUAUCACAAGUGCAAUAUAAGCUCCUCGCCAAUAAAAGUGCAAUAUAAGUUCGUACAUCAAUUACACAUGCUUAACAUAUAAUCAUAGCAGAAAGGAAGGACCUUAUUUAUUUAGUACGUACAUAUAACAAUCGGCACUUGCAUGUAUGCAUACAUUGACUAUUUAUGCGAUACUUUCUUCAGUGAUGUCAAUGUCGAUAUCAGAGGACUUGGUACCUUGAUAGAUGCCAUCAUGUAACUGACGGAUAACUAUGUUGCCACUGUACAUAACAUCCUUCUGCUUGUAUGAGAAGGGAACAUCAACAACAUCUUCUCUUGUGAAUAUGCUACAUAACACUUUAGUCAUUGGAGGCACAGGAUAUGAGUAUUCAUACAUGCGCUUAGUUUCUUGUAUCUUGGUUUCUCCCCAAUUAUACUCUCCAUGAAAGUCCAGAUGGCUUUCAGCUCCACCUUCCAUUAUAAAUGGCAAGCUAGCUGAGAUGUGGGCUUUGAUACCUGCGUCGAGUGUUAAAUUCGCAUCCCAUUUACUCUCUGUUCUGUCAUAUAGUUCAAUAGUAGGUUUGCCUUGGUGGGUCUCAUGUGUUCUAUUGUUAGAAAGCACCUCUGUCCUGGAGACAUUUUGGUUAGUGCUAGUCUUCUUUCCACCGACAUUGUACUCAACAUCAUAUAUCUCUCGAGACUUAACCGGUUCUUCAAUCUGGAGCAUUACUCCCGAGGAGUUGAUAUCAGUACCAGAAGCAACGAGGAUAUUAGAAUAGAUUAUAGUCGGAUCGGUCACACUCUCACAGAAUUUUCCAUUGCCGAGGUUUUGGAGUGCAAUGAUGUUCCCAUCAUUUGAGACCACCUUGAACAAUGUGUUAACAUCGUUGUAAAUGGCAUCAUGUGGUAUGAACGCGCUGAAAUAAAAGCCAGGGUCAUUUAUAGUGCCAAUCGUCCCAUUGAGGAGACUACGGACGCCACAUGUCCAAAACCUGCCUGAGGUGUUGUUUCUUAUGCGGACAAUACCGUAGUCGUCGGUGAACGUCUCAUGGAUCACAUCUGGAUCUGUGAUAUCAGAUGAUGAAAACUGCUGAACCCAAUCAUCACCAUCAGUAUUUACAGAAAACGAAUUCCGGUUCUUUUCUGUGAGGUACUUGCCAUUGUUGCCUUUAAAAGCGACAUAUUUGGGCAAUUCCUUCUGUUGCGACAAGCGAUGAACACUCAAGAGAUCUGUUACUCCUAGUUGCAGGUAGGCUUUGUUGCCUGGAAUAAAACAUAAGUCCCCAGAGACAGAAACCCAGCCAACAUAUUUAUUUUGCUGAGAAUGAAAGCACCUUGUUGUACAAAAAUAAUUAACAACAUCAGAUGAGAAAUUUUAAUAUGGUCCCUAAGAGGAUAAUUUAAUCCUAGCUGUUGAUUGACCGAGGGUAAUUUUGACAAAAUAAAUAUGGUAAUUACAACAAAAUAAAUAGGAAAUAUUCUUGAUGGGUUUGGUGAUCUGUCUUUUGAUGAAGACAUUUUCUCUCUGCCAAAAAAAUGCGAAUCCAAUGCUAUACUUCUUAUGGUAUGCUACUAAUUCAUUGGCGAUGGAAAUUUGGCGUUGUAAUGUUCCUCCAAAGGUCCAGUCAUUUGCAUGGCGACUAGCUACUAAUUCAUUGGCGACAUGGACGAACAAAGUGAAACGAAAUCUGGAAGUAUUGGCAAUGUGUCCAGUAUGUGGGCGCGAAGAAGAGGACUCUUUUCAUGUUUUCUUUGGAUGCAAUCACGCUGUUUGGCUAUGGGAAGCCAUGUCCUCUCAGUGGGCUCUGCCGAAGCGAACGAACAUCAAGCACACUGGUAUAGACUGGUUAUUUCAUCUCCUAGCAGGUACUGAUGAGGAGACUCGCAGCAGGUUGCUGAUGCUUUUCUGGAGAACUUGGUACCUAAGGAAUGAGAUUGUUCACUCAAAGCCAUUGCCUCCAAUUGAUGUCUCUGUCAGAUUUUUGGUAAGUUAUUACUUUGCAUCGUUGCAGGCUAUACACUUGGAUCCACAAGCUGACUCCUUGAAGGGAAAGGAGGUGUUAGCUCCAAGCCAUCAACGCAAGCAACUUGCUUGUGAUAAUGUUCAUAUAGUGAAUGUCAGCUCGUGGACAAAACCGAUUGAGGGCAGAGUAAAACUUAACACAGAUGGCUCAUAUUUGGAAGGUAAAGGGGGUACAGGCAUGAUCCUCAGGGACGCUGAUGGCUUAAUCAUUUUCAGCGCAUGCAGACAUUUGUACACAUGCACUGAUGCUUUAGAAGCGGAAUUACUAGCGAUAAAAGAGGGAAUUUCCUUGGCACUACAAUGGAGUAAUUUAUCCAUUGAUGUUGAGUCUGAUUGUUUGGAGGCUAUCUUGAUGAUCAAAGAAGGAGCAGGCAACAAAUCGAAGCAUGCUUUUAUCAUUAAGGAGAUUAUUGAUACUAUGGGGGAACGUACUUUUUGUAUUACUCACACUCGUCGGAACUGUAAUAAUGCUAGUCAUUUCAUGGCUAAUUUUGGUAGGUUGAAAGGCCGAACCGCGGUUUGGCUAGGCUCUGGUCUAGAAGAGCUCCCGGAAAUUGUGGGACGAGAUUGUAAGACCGAACUUUUUAUCUCUGCCUUUUUAUCAACCGGUUUGGAUUGGCAAAGAGAGGUGAUUGGUUAGUGAUUGUUAUGAGUCAUCAACAGAUAUCAGUGACCACUCGAGCCUUUUUAUCUCUGCCCUUAGUUGCAUUUAUUACUACUGAUGACGACAUAAGUCGCCCCUGGCGUGACUAGACUUGGGUGUGUUUGGUUGGGCUCCAGUUUGGCAUUGGCGCAUAUAAGCUCGGACCUAGCCAAACAAGAGGCGUAUAUUUGGUGUGAGCGAAAUGCUAGGGUGUUCCAACAUAAAUCGACACUCCCAUCCAUCAUCCUUUGCAACAUCAAGAAUGAGGCUAGGCUUUGGAUCACCGCCGGCGGGAAGCACUUGGGAAACAUCAUGCCGCGAGAGUAGAAGUUGUACACUUUAUCUUAGCUUUUGUGUUGUAAAAGCAACUCUAGAACUUCUUAAUUAAUGGAUGAGGCAAAUCUUUUGCCUCCAUUUCGAAAAAAAAGAGGCGUAUAUUUGCCUUUAUUCGAAACGCUGGAGUUAUAAUCCGUAGAAGGGAAGGCACGUCCUAAGGUUCUUUCGAGGUAUAUUUUCAAUCCCACGACUAUCCUACUCCUGCUGCUUGAAAGAAACUUCCAGAACACUGAUUGCAAAAUGUCCAAACAUAGAACGCAAUCACUGGGAGGAGUUCUUUGCUCAGAGGAGGAGUGAAGAGUUCCUGGAGAAGAGUCACCGGGGAAAGGAGCUACAGUAAAGGAACACAUAUGGCUACCAAGGUUUUUUUUUUUUUGGAAAAGGGGAUAUACCCCAGCCUCUGCAUCAGGAAGAUGCAUACGGCUCAUAUUAUUAAAGUCAAAGUACAGCAACACAGUCUCGAAAGGUCGUAGUACCAACAAAUACAAAAGACUCAAAAUAGGUAAGGCCCAAAGCCACAACCGGCUGGCAAAACAAUAGGAUCACUACAUGCCUAUCCUAUUACAUGACCGCCAUCCAAACCGGUUGAAAAUAUCCCGAGCUACCAUCUCCCAUCGGGUAGACGCAGUAACCAAACGCUCCCUGGCCACCGUCGGAGUGAGUAGCGACCACAUACGGAUGAACGCCGUGGCCCUGAAGAUAACCUGCAAAAAGUGAAUGGUUGAUGAUCUGUUAAAGACUAAAUCAUUCCUGCAGUUUCAUAUUGCCCAUAAUAAUGCACAAACGCCAACCCGAAUGUGUCUUGCAGUGUCAGCAUCCACCCCAUCAAGCCAUGUGCCAAAUAACAUGCUGAUUGAGGUGGGCUGAUUAAUAUUAAACGCAAUAUGGACCGACCGCCACAAAAUCUUAGCCAACGGACAAUCGAGAAAGAGAUGUUUGAUGCUUUCGUUCUGAUCACAAAAGCUACAUCUAGACGAUCCCACCCAAUUUCGUUUUGCAAGGUUAUCCUUAGUCAAAAUGACUUGUUUAUGCACAAACCACAUAAACACUUUGAUACGUAAGGGUACCUUAACCUUCCAAACAUGAAACGAAGUAGGGAUAGCGCUAGAGUUAAUGACAUCCAGAUACAUUGAUUUGACCGAGAACAAACCGUUCUUAGUAAGUUUCCAAUGCAACUGAUCUGGCUGCUGAGACAGCCGGAUUUCCAUCAACCGACUAACAAGAUGCAGCCAGGCCUCCCAACGAUUUCCAACAAGCGUCCGUCUAAAACUGAUAUUGAGGGGAACGGAUUGUAAAACAUUAGCAACAUAGGCUUCUCUACGUCGGACAAUGUUGUACAAAGAAGGAUAUUGAAGUGCAAGUGGGGUCUCCCCAAGCCACGUAUCCUCCCAAAACCUUGUAGUAGCACCAUUCCCAACAAUAAACUUAGUCUUGUUGAAAAAAAGUUUUUUAACUCUCAUCAAACCCUUCCAAAAGGGAGAGUCGGAAGGCCUCACAUUCACCUGAGCCAAAGUCUUAGCAAAGAGAUACUUAUUGCGCAAAAUCUGAGCCCAAGUUGCGUCCCUCUCAGAUGACAGCUUAAAUAGCCACUUGCUAAGGAGACAUAUGUUUUUGACUUCCAGAUUUUCAAUGCCUAGACCUCCUUGCUCCUUAGGCCUACAGAUUAUAUCCCACUUAGCGAGCCUAUACUUUCGUUUAAGCUCAUCAAUUUGCCAAAAGAAACGCGAUCGAUAGAAAUCUAACCUUUUCCUGACUCCAACCGGAACCAAGAAAAAGGAUAAGAGAAACAUAGGCAUACUAGUGAGGACCGAAUUAAUCAGAAUCAAUCGUCCUCCGUAUGACAUGAGCUUUCCUUUCCAACAGCUCAGUUUCUUUUCAAAACGAUCCUCAACGCAUUUCCACUCAAAGUUAGUCAGCUUACGAUGAUGAAUGGGUAUACCUAAGUACGUAAACGGUAACGAGCCCAAUUCACAUCCGAACAAUUGUUGAUACGACUCCCGAUCAUCAUUAGCUCUUCCAAAGCAAAACAAUUCGCUCUUGUGGAAGUUGAUUUUGAGCCCAGACAAUUGUUCAAAUAAGCAUAACAGCAGCUUCAUGUUUCUUGCUUUCGCCAAGUCAUGCUCCAUAAAGAUGAUAGUAUCAUCAGCAUACUGAAGAAUGGACAUCCCGCCGUCAACUAGAUGAGGAACCAAGCCAGCUACCUGCCCGGCAUCCUUUGCCCGACCUAUUAAGAUAGUCAGCAUAUCAGCCACUAUGUUGAAGAGGAUCGGUGGCAUAGGGUCUCCUUGCCGUAGCCCCUUGUGUGUUUGGAAAUAGUGACCUACGUCAACAUUCACCUUAAUCCCUACACUCCCUUUUUGCGUAAAGGAAUCAACCUGGUUUCUCCAGGCCGGAUCGAAACCUUUCAUACGCAAAGCUUGUUGAAGGAAAGACCAUUUAACUUUAUCAUAAGCUUUCUCAAAAUCCACUUUAAAAACUACGCCAUCAAGUUUUUUGGAGUGGAUUUCAUGAAGCGUUUCAUGCAAAACAACAACCCCUUCCAGGAUGUUUCUAUCAGGCAUGAAAGCAGUCUGGGACGGCGCAACUACUGAGUGUGCAAUUUGCGUAAGUCUAUUCGUCCCGACCUUGGUGAAAAUUUUGAAACUCACAUUAAGCAGACAUAUGGGUCUGAACUGCUCGAUGCGAACAGCCUCUGUCUUCUUAGGGAGAAGUGUUAUAGUCCCAAAAUUCAGUUUAAACAAAUGAAGCUCCCCUUCAAAAAACUCUUGAAACAUGGGCAUCAAAUCCCCCUUAAUAAAAUGCCAACAUUUCUUGUAAAAUUCCACCGGGAACCCAUCUGGUCCUGGGGCCUUGUUAUUCUUCAUUUGUGCAAUAGCCUCAAAAACCUCUUUCUCGGAGAAAGGCGCAGUCAAAAUUUCAUUUUCGGCAGUCUCAAGUUGAGGCACAUCCUCAACCCUAGACUCAUCCAACGUUACGGAAGUCCCUACCGGGGGACCAAACAACUGCUUAUAAUAAUUGGUAAUGUAGACUUUCAGAUUGUCCUGACCAACUAUUGUCCCUUCAUCUUGUUCUAGUUGGAAAAUUCUCUUUUUACGAUGCUUCCCGUUGGCAACCAUAUGAAAGAAUUGAGUGUUAUCCUCGCCUUCAACGAUUUUGCGAGUCUUAGCUCGCAACGCCCACUUCAAUUCCUCCUCACGAAGAAGCUUUUUAAGCUGCAACUCCGCUUCUACCUUUGUUUCCAGCUCAUUGGACUCCAAGAUAGAAGUUUCAGCUUUAACUUCAAGGUUGUGAAUAAGUAGGAGAAGUCUCUCCUUCUCCACCUUAUAAAUCCCGUUCAUGUGCUUAGCCCAACCACGAAGGAAACUACGGAGAUGACGAAUCUUGCAUUGCCAACGCUCGAUUGGCGUCCUACCUCCCGAGUCCUUCGCCCACUCUAUAGCUAGCAACUCAAGAAACCCUUCUCUUUCAAACCAGGCAAGUUCAAACGAGAAAAAGUUCUUGUUGCCCACAAAAUUUUGAACUCCGGAGUCGACUAGUAACGGUGUAUGAUCCGAGACACCUCGAGUCAUAGCCUGCACAGUUACCAGAGGAAACUUCUGUUCCCACUCGACACUAGCUAGCACACGGUCAAGUUUCUCAAAGGUCGGAACCGGUAACGAAUUAGCCCAAGUGAAUUUCCUACCCGAAAGCUCAAUCUCCCUGAGAUCCAAGCUUUCGAUGAUAGUGUUGAACAUAAACGGCCAGCGGCCGUCAAAAUUGUCAUUAUUCUUAUCCUCCUUUCUUCGGAUAAUGUUGAAAUCCCCUCCCACUAAGAGAGGUAGCUGCUCGUUACCACAGAUACGCACUAGAUCCGCCAAAAAAUCUGGCUUUAGCUCUGGUUGCGCAGCUCCGUAAACUGCCACCAAUGCCCAAUCAAACCCGUCUGCCUUAUUGCGGACUCGAAACUUGACAGCGAACUCUCCCAUAACUACGCUCCGAACCUCCAACGAUUCGCACUUCACCCCAAGUAGAAUCCCACCGGAUCUUCCUCGAGGAGGGAGGCAAUGCCAAUCAAAAGCUACCCCCCCGGACAAAGUGGCAAGAAAUUGAGAAGUGAAAUUGCUUCUUCCAGUCUCAGACAAAGCAAUAAAAUCUAAAUGAUGUUCAAGAGAAGCAUCCGCUAGAAACCUCCUUUUAGCCAAGUCUCUAAGACCUCUGCUAUUCCAGAAAAUGCCUCUCAUAACUCAUCAUGAAAUUUUUUGGCAGUACGGAUCCUAGCACUCCUACGCGCAGCGGAUACUGGAUAAACCUUACGUUUCCAUGUCCGCUUAGGCUUUAAGUGACCAUCAGCCUGAUCACCGCCCUCCUUCACAGCUUCUAUCACUAAAGACUCAUCUGCAAGAAGAGACGUCUCAGGAAUGGUGUCCUCCUCUAUCUCUAUAAAUGCAGGGUCAAGAUCAGCACACAUGCCAUCAAGAACCCUAACCCCAAGCGCAUCAAUCUCCGAGUCAUUCAUUGGUUUAACGGCAGCUAUGUGACGAAUCAUAUCUACCGCACGAUCAGCUUCUAAAUCAAGAAUGUCGUUAACCGACUUGGCAAUUUCAGCAUCAUUAUUACCAAGUGAAAUUCCUAAUUGAGUUGCAUUAUUAAUGAUUUCAUUAUCAGUAAAAUGCAAAAUGGAAUUCGACUUAAUAACAGACAUACCAGUGGAGGUCUCGACGUCAUGCAACUUGGCAGCCCUCAACGCACACCUCAGUUGAAUGUCAUCAACAUCCGGCUGCUCCUGCAGCCUCCCGCUGAUCCGCCUCCCCUGGGAGACAGGAUCCGGAAUACCACCAAAGGCAAUGACCUCCUCUCGAGAAGCCCUGCUAGGGGAAGGGCCUCCUGCCCGUCCCCCAACAGCGGUGCCCCGGAUCGCAGACACCGGAGCAGGAGAAGAAAGAGGCGGCGUCACCUGCAGCCCGAGCACGGGCGACCCACGAGCAGCAGAGCUCGGGGCAGCCAACGCACCGCGCACCGGGGGAGAAGCUGUAAGAGCGACCGCGUCGCCCAAACCACCCGACACAACGGGAACCGGCGAGUCAGCGGCCUCCCGCCCAGCCACACCCUCGGCCGCGCGAGGAGAAACCGCAGCCAAAGGGGCGGAUCUGGCCGGUGAAGCAGCUGGUCCGUGGCCGCCCCCAGCUGCCAUCCCCCCGAAGAAAACUCCCCCCGCCUCAGAGGAAGCCAAAGAGGGGGGCGAGUGGUGCGCAGGCCUCCUGCCCGCAUGUCCCACCCGAGGUCGCCCGAUCCUCCGAAGGGGCGAAAACCUCCGCGCUGGCCCUAGGCACCAAAGAGACAGGCGUCUCAAGAGCUCGGGAAGGCCGGCCCUCACUCCCGCCCACGUCCGCCAAGGUGCCCAGCGAAGACAACGUCGAUGAAGUAGGAGUAACAUGGACCUCCUGUCCAGAAGUUCCUUCCGGACCAUUGACAAACAAGACAGAGUCAACCCCCGUAAUCGCAGGCGGCAAAUGCUCAGACAGGUCAUCCAUGUCCACCCGAUCACUCCAAAGACGAGGAGGCGCCGAGAAAGCUCCUACGGAACCCAGUUGCAGCAUAUUGGACGGGACCGAAACCGGCGAUUUCCCCUGAGCAGACUCUCCUGCCUUAGACGAAUCCACAGGCCUGGAAUCCCUGUCCCCAUCAUUAUGAGUAUUACUACCAUGGUUCCCAGGGGCGCCUCCCCCCUCAGUAGUAUCCAUAUGAUGCACCUCAUCAAACUCCUGAAACAAAUUAGGAUCCUCAUACUCGACAUUCAACAUGUACGCAAUACCCUCGUGACACCAUCUGACCACAUCCGGCAAGAACUCGAUGUUGGCCACGCUAACCAGCAAGCGCGCCACACCAUGAGCACGGGUGAAGGGCAUAUCUACCUGCUCCGUCUUACCAAGCAAGGAUCCCAAGCUCCAUGUGACGAAGAAAUCAUUCAAGGGCUCAGAUGGAGCACCCAGAAAACGAAUCCAGAUCUGAGUUAGAGGUGUGCCCUGCGGCUCCGCCUUCUUCCACUCAUCAAACUGCAACACAAAGCUAGUGCCAGUAACUCUACACAUACCAAACUUGAGAAUUCUCUUCUGGUCCUCCUUAGAUGGAAAUUCCACUUUGUAAGACUGAUCUGAUAGUUUCAACAAGGACCAGUUAAAGUUCCCCGGAGCCAACUCCCGCAACUGCUGAAUGAUCUGGGCUUCAGUGAGAUGUCCGGAGACCACCUUAACCACCCCGGGGAAGGAGGUCUCAAAAACAGGAGCCACCGAGGCCACGCUAGGUGACUCGAAGAACAUCAACUCAGAGCAACAGAGCCCAUAAAUAUUAAGUGCCGGUUUGGGACCCAGAAGAAGCGGACACUCAGCCGCCACAUGUUUAGGUUUUCGACAAAUAUCACAUAACUCAGCAGAGCAAUCAACCAUGAAGUGACCCGUCUCACCGCACCGGAAACAGAUCAGUUUCUUCUUCUUAGCCGCCCACUUGGAGAGCUUGUCCCCCCCGGCCUUUUCCGAUCCUUUGUCAGAAUCAGCAUCAACGGAUUGCACAGUCACCGGAACUGUCACAUCGGCGAGCGCCCGAACCGUCUCCACCACCGCGUGAGUGAGACCAGCGUCAUCCGUGGACAUGUCAGUGGUUUCCGAACCCGUAGCACCGGGCAAAUUGCGCGGAGGAUAACGGCGGUGACCGCCACGACCACGGUAGCGGCCCCGGAAACGACUCGGGCCAACCGCCCCCUCAACAAAAUUCCCCGGAGGUCCAUGGAAACCACGACCGGCAGCCCCGUGAUCUGUCCAACCAUAGCCCUGCCCACCACCAGUGGACGAUGAGCCACGAUGAAGACCACGACCGUAAGCAUCGUAACCAUCGUCACCCCACUGACCACGGGGAGGGUCGCGGCUUUCACCCGCGAACGCUCCCGACCCGCGGCCCGCAGCAGCAUUAGCAGGUCCACCCCGCCCGAGCGCCAUCUGCCGCGGCCAGGGGCGCGGCGCCUGAGGGGGUGCGGCCCCGGCCGGCUGCGCCGCCGGAACCCUGGUGGGAGGCGCAGCCUGCGCAGGCGCCGAAGGCGCAGCCGACGCCGGCACAGCCGUCGGACCACCUGACGCAGCCCUCGCAGGCGGCUUCGCCGGCGGCGGAGCCUUGGCCAACGGCGGGGCUUUGGGUGGCAUAGCUUCGCCGGCUACCGUCGGAGAGCAGCGGCAAGGAUGCAGCGCCCGCCUCACACGGCGAGUCCCAGCAGGAGGGAAGCCCAAUCUUCCGCGGCGGCGAACCCUAGAGAAAACCUCGAAACGGCCAGGAGAGACCGAACGUGCAUGCGAAACCACGCGAACCGAUGCGGUCACAUGCACGGGAGCCACUCCAGCCCAGUCCGCAGCGGCCGGUUUUGCCUGGGCCUGAAGCCCUGCUAAUCCCGGUCCGCCCUCGGAUGAAACCCCCUGGCCAGACGGCCUAAACGCGGGCUGGCCUUCAUUUCGGCCCACCGAUUCAAGCCCAUCAGCGCGCAACAACGAAUUCAAACGCGUGAUCCGCUCCGAUCGGAUCACGCCCGCACGGUCAAUCGCCGGCGCCGGCUCCGGCGCCGCCGCCGGUCGCCGACACUUCUUCCUCUUCACUAUCUUCCACGAUCCCUCUGUAAUGAAAUCUGACAAGGUAAGUUUUGGGAGACAUACCUUAGGAAUAGGCCCCUUCCAUGGCCGGAUCGCAGCCGCCGCCGUCCGUCGAUGAACCAUGCGUCGAACAAUCUCAAUCUUGUCCUCUGCCCCCAAGCCUUGCCGCGCCGGAUCAUCCAUCGGCACGACGCCAUCAACGAUCGUGGCCACAUCCUCUUCCGAGUACCCGGGAUCGAACGCCUCGCAGAUCACAGACGACGGCGUUGGCGAGUACGCCUCCGGCAAACCUCCGGCGACGUCCCCAUCGUCAUCGUCCUCCGCAUCAGCCUCCGCUAGAGCCCAGAACCUCCCACCAACGAGCCCCACGCUAGAGGUCGCCGGCGGCAUGACCGCGGUGGUCGCCCAGGAGUCGCCCGUUCACUGUGGUACUAGGCUCGGUUCUCAAGAGCUUCUUGCCCCCCACCAUCUACAAUCUGCGCCAGGUUUAUGAUCGAAGGAAAAAUACGACCAACACCUUGGCGGCCGUGGUUACCUAGGGAAAAGAUUACACUGGACCAGAGAGGACGCCGCACUAGCCACAUCUAGGAAACCUCUUCCUUUAGAGUACAUCAAGGAGGGGCACACCACUUCGUAAGGGGGAACACAACCUAUUACCAUGUCAUCAAUUGCCGCUACCCCGGAACUCAAGGAAGUAUUCGACCAUUUCGUAACAUCUCAACGCAAUGUCUUUUCGUAGUUCAUUACUCCACUUUCAAUACACUCAGCAAAAUAGCUUGCAUCGAGAACAUUACAUAUGAAUCGGUAUGUUCGUGAUAGUGUACAAAUAGUGUAACUACAAGACCAAAAGAGCAAGAAAUAGUGUACAAAUUCAUAUGGUCUUAAAAGUUUCAAGCAUUAUUAAGGUUGUAACAUUAUGUAUUGGUGCUCUCUCUCUCUCUCUCUCUCUCUCUCUCUCAGCAGUAUUGUGUGAUAGAAUUUUUAAUUUUUUAAUUUGUGCUAACGUAGCAUUCAUAUUGCAGCAUGUAAAAAGAACAUAUGACAUAAAUGAUCUUAUAACUAAACUAAACAUAAAACUAUUGAGCCCUGAACUCUGGUUUUGUCCAUUUUACUUGGCCCUCUCUACCAAAACUACAAUGGUUUUGAUUGAUGUCACAUACGUACGUGUAAAUUUUUUGUGAAAUGUUGCCCAUGUGGUGCAAUAAAAAAUAUUUGUUCUAUCUAUCAAUAUUUUUGGAAAAUACAGAUAAAUAAAUUUGGGGUUAAAGUAAAAAAACUGGCAAAUAUAGAAUCCUUUUAUUAAGAAAGGUGAAACUUCUGAACGAACACGAAAUUAUGGAACAGAAAAAACCAGCGAUACCAUUCAAAAAGGAAAAAAAUAUAUGGAAAAUGGGAAGUGAGCAAAUAGUCAGAAGAGUUCCAAGUCUCAUAAAGAAUUAUGAAGUACCAUUAAAUAAUGAACAAAAUAUUUAGGGAAGAAACACAUAUUUCAAAAUUUAUUAAGAUGUAUUGUUUGGACGUUGCCCUAUGUCCAGAUAUUCAUGAAUAGUGAUAAUAUAUUGUUUUCUUUAUUUUUAGAAUCUACAGUAAAUGGUUCAUUUCUGUAUCUCUAAGGAUUUACUACCUCCGUUCGGACAUAACUGAUGUGGUUUUAGUUCAAAUUUAAUUCGAACUAAAAUCACAUCAGUUAUUUCCGAACGGAGGGAGUAUUUGUUAUCCAUGAUAUAUUUUGUUCCAAGUUAUUUUAUUUGAUUUUAGUAUCUCUAUCUCCUAGCGUUGUCUCUUUUAUUCAUUUCUAUUUAGAAAUUUUCCCCUUUUCAAAUUUUGUAUUCUUUUCCAACUUUUCCCUAUUUUUCAUAGUUUUGCUCCAUUUUAAUUACUUUAUAUAUGAUUAUCUCAAGUUGUUUCUUUCAUCGACAUGUGUUAACAAAAGCAUUAGACAAGUUGGCACGUCUAAACAUAAUAUAUUAUAAUGAGUUUUAAGUUGCAUUUAUGUGUUUGUUUUAUUAUAGCUGAUUGUUAAUUUUUAUGCGUGCAUAUUUAUCAAUUAUCAGUAUUAAUAUGAGAUACAAUCUCUUUAUUCACAGAUGUGGAAAGCAAUGUCAUAUAAAAGAAAUCAACGGGUUUUGGUCAUCGGUAUUGUGUGGGCCCAGGUGCCAGGCACAUCCGGUGGCUCUUGCUAUUAGGAUAGGUGUAUUGCCACCCGGAAAAGGGCCCUAGAUUCUAGCACUCUUUCACAUGCAUGUCCAUUUGCAUCUGAGAAUGCUUCGGCGAUGUCUCGGUGAUAAUAUACAAAAACAUUUUGCGUCGCCAACAAGAAGGGAGGAAAGCCAUCAAACAUUUUCCCCCUCGACAGCAUCACCAUGAAAUGCAAUCAUUUAUUCAUCGGUCUUGGAAGCCUCCAUAGCUUCCUUCAAAAUUAUCAAGACCAUCAAGAUUGGUUUGUAACUUGGUAUUCAUGAAUUUAUGAAAACAAAAAAUUAUCAAUCUUUGGGCCAUAUUGGCAUCCUUCUCCGGCAAGGGUACGUCUAAGGAGACUCUGAAACAACAAAGAUGAAAGUAAUAUACACACCGAUUGGUGGAAAGUACAUGUAUGAAACCAUGGGCAUAUGCACCCACUACGAAAAACUCAUUUCUAAGUGCCAAAAAAUUCUGAAAAAAGUUUCACGCAUACAUCUUCACAUUCUAUGUGCGCACAGGAAGUUCCAUGCAAAAACAACUUCUUCUUUGGCCUCUGCAAAAAAGAAAACAAAAGUGACGUGGCAUGUUAUUUAGAAGCACUGAAUUUGUCUUUUUCAUGGAGGCAAAAUAAAAAAGAAAAGUUUUCAUAAAACUUUGUGUCGUGCACUAUGUUUCGAAGAUGUAUGCGUGAAAUUUUGUAUCUGAAUUUUUGACAUUGUAAAUUGCAGUUAAAAUGCAUUUUUUAAAAGUGGGUUCAUAUGUCAGGGUGCCCCCACUCAACGAUUCGCUUGUAACCUUGGUAUUCAUCAAUUUAUGAAAACAAAAGAUUAUCAAUCUUUGUGCCAUUCUUUGUCAAGAUUGGAAUCCUUUUCCGGCAAAGGUUCAUCGAAGGAGACUCCCAAACAGCAAAGAUGAAAGUACAUAGACACCGAUCAACAAGACCACAAAACUCACGUGAUUCACGAAAUUUGACGUCGCGAUCUGUCCAAGCGUGCACUAUAAAGUUGUUUCUUUCUAGAUUAGCGCGAGUCCCUUUUUUUGCAGGUGAGCAUUAGUGCGAGAUCUAACCAAUGAAGAAAAAUCGAUGCAUCCACGGGAUGGGAUCUGAAUCUGUGGAGGCGCAUGCAGACUGUCAUGAAUGUGUGUCCAACUCAACCCAUGUGGGAGGCAUGGUACGGCAAAAGAAACAAGUACCUGCUGGUUGCUAUGUACCUGUCAUUGGGACCAAUGUGACAUUGCAAAUCUAUCCUAUCCAGCCAGCUCGCUGAGUAGGAGAGAAGGAACUUCAUGCCAAACAGAAGGACCGUGCCCUAAUAAAACAUGAGUGAAUUCCGGUUUUUAUUCUCUAUUUUGACAUUUUUUGACACUAAUUACCCCAUUUAGCGGGAUUUCAUCUGUUUUAUCCCAUUUAGCAAAUUCACCCUGUUUAAAAUUUUAUGAGCAUUCUGACAUAUGGGUCCCAAUUGUAAGGUCCAGCUAGAAUGCCAAAUCGCCGGGUUUUUUUCCGAUGGUUUUCUACACGCCAAACCAGGUCGCCCUAGCUUCUCCCGACUGGCCAAGCUUGAUAUGAUCGCACCAGAGCAGCUCGGGAAACAGAGUACUAACUCUGCACCGGUAAACAUAUUUGCUAAUACGGAAAAGGAAACUUCUAAAACAUGAUUUACCUAGUUCAUUCUUCGCUAGAUAUGUAGAUAUGUACGUGCAUCAGAGGUACUGAAGCAGUAUAUUUACACCACUUUUAAUCUGAUCCACAUAAUCAUUCAUACUUAAGGUUGUAUAUGAUAAUACUGAAGAAAAACAUACAUGAUUUCAUAUUAUAUCAGCAACAGUCCCUCCUAGAAUUUAUUCAAUGGGAACAUGCCACGCUGAUCAAGUACAGUCAUCUCAUCACAAUACUUCUUCGAACCGGAAACGAGUAGUCUAAACCUAUCUAAUAUGCAUCCCAGACUAAGAGAAAAUCUAGCCACAAAAAACCUAACCACCAGGGGUCACAAACAGAGGAUGCAGCAUGCAUGGGACGGGACAAGAUUGUCGUAUUGGUUGCCGCUUGCUCCGACUAUCGCCAGUGGCCACGACUUGAAGUCUUGCCUGUCGUUGUCACCUACGUCGUGCUACCCCCUCCUAACGAAUGAGGCGGUGGUUUUGGGUCAGACCAGGGCAGGAUCGUGUGUGCAAUGGGAAUGCGAGUGAUGUGUGCCGUGAAUAAUGGAGGCCAAUGUGAUAUGGCCCAACCUGGGCGACUUGGCUAUCCGGCGAGCUGCUUUGGUGCCAUCAUAUCAAGCUUGGCCGGUCGGGAGAAGCUAGGCGAUGCCUUUAGGCGUGCAGGAAAACCAUCAGGAAAAAUCCGCCUAUGUGGCAUGCCAGCUGGACCUUACAAUUGGGACCCAUCGGCCAGAACACUCACAAAAUUUUAAACAUGGUAAAUUGUGGCAAUAUUUUUGCUAAAUGGGGUAAAAUGGAUGAAAUCCCGCUAAAUGGGUAAUUAGCGUAAAAAAUGUUAAAAUAGGGGGUAAAGACGGAAUUCACUCAUAAAACACUGCAAUCCUCUAUAUUUUCUGGACCCUUGAAAAUUUGAGUUACCGGAGCGCUCGUAUUGUUAAAUCGUCGGAGAGAGCAAAAGAAACUGAUCAAAAGCACAUCAACUAAAGGCUAAAUCAGAAUACCUAUGCAGCUGCGAUCAGCAUCUGAACCAUCUCCCAGCUACCUAACCGCAAGGAUGAAAGAAAUUUAAGCACACCUCUUCCAUCUACCUAGCCAUAUGAUGAUGAAAGAUAUUUAAGCACCUCUUCCCUCUACCUAACCAUAUGAUGAUGAAAGAUAUUUGCAUCUCAACCAUCUCCCAGCUACCUAGCCGCAAGGACGAGGUACAUGAAGCGACUUUGACGGUGAUCUCUACGUGGUGGUUUCAUCUACCGACUCGAGUCAACUAUAGCUAAUAUGCAUACUAUUGAAGCUGGAUACAUAAUAACUAACGAAAAGAAAACCUGAUCGCAGCCGGUUUUCACGUAUGAAUUGACUGGAAGACUUAAGAAUUCCGGUCAGUUCUUCUCACAAAAUUGAAUACUUAAGUAUUACCGUCGUUUUACACUAAAACCGCAUAUGUUACUAAUUUCAGGGCUGACAUAAUUUAUGUUUAGAGCAAACCCUGCAGAUCAAAAUUCACACCAAUUGAUUUUCAUCAAUCACAUGUCAACACAUGAUGCAUCACAAAUACACAUUCAAAUUCAUGUCACAACUGCAUUGUAUUUCAUUCCAGUGUACUCCCUCCGUUUCUUUUUACUCCGCAUAUAAAAUUUGGUCAAAGUCAAACUACACAAAGUUUGACCAAAUUUAUAUAAAAAAAUAUAAACAUCUACAAUAUUAAAACUAUAUAGUAUGAAAAUACAUUUCGUGGUGCAUCUGAUAACGUUGAUUUCAUACUGUCAAUGUUUAUAUUUUUUAAUGUAAAGUUAGUCAAACUUUACAAAGCUUGACUUUGACCAAACCUUAUAUGCAGACUAAAAAGAAACGAAGGGAGUACACAAUAUUCCGUUCCUUGUUUCUCUGGAGGCCACAUUGGAGAGAGUGUGUGUGUGUGUGUGAGUGCAUGGGUGGGUGGGUGGGCGCGCGUGUGAGCGGAUCGGGCCAAUGACAUGAAGUGAUCAAUCACAUGGAUAUCAUCGAUAAGGACAUACUCCGGCACCUCUUGCAACUCCCCCUCCGCUUCUCCCUGAGAUCUUGCAGCAAAGGCAAGCAUAUACCAGACGCUCACGCAAUCGUUUACUCAAAACUCAAAUGACCUCCCAAGAUUCCAUAAUAGUAGUUCUACUGCAACUAAAACCAACAUUCUACUAAUAAUUUGCCAAGACUAGCUCAGUAAUACUACUGAACUAUGGCUUGCGUCGGUCUCCGUGGUCGUGUGGGCAUCUUGGAUACUGGAUCUCGAGAUGGUGGCGGCCUUUCUGAGGCUGGAUGGUCGUGGUCGCUUCAAGUCACGAUCAAUGAUGGGCAGCAGCCGGCACAAUUCUCCCAAUAUGCAUGCUAUGGGUCUGCGUAAGUUGCAUAGAGAGGUCGCACGCAUACCUCAGAAGAGAGAUUGAUUAUAAGUGAUGAAUGAUAAUCCCUUCUUUCUCUACCGCCUACUAACGGUUAUAAUCGGUCGAUUGGGAUUUCUGCAAUUCACAAUCACAUAGACCGAGAACCAGCAAAGCCCCAAGAAUGCUUGCACAGUUUGAGUUCCAAAUUAAUUAAACACAAGAUAUUGUUUUCUAGUAACAGGAUAAUAAUCUUGUUGUCCUGUCUUUGUAGCUACACCCACCCCGUCCGAGUCUUCAUCAAGCAUUGACCAAUUUAUCAACCAAACGUGGCUGAUGGAUCAAUUUGUUGUCCAUUUCAACAAGUUAUGAGGGUGGACAUGGUCAUGUGCAGUGCAGUGCAGUGAUGAAGAGGUUAGGGACGACGAAAUUUCUUCUCAAGAGGCGUGCAUGGGCACUCCGCAUGUGCAAUCAUGAAGAUGAUGCAUGAUAGGCGAAGCUUCUUCCGGCCAGCCGCCGCGCUCCAGAAUUCAACGGACGAGACUAGUGCAGGCUUAAAUUGUUCCAUAAAAUGGCGGCACUCGGCGCCUCGGCUCAUUCAUCCAACCAUGUCCACGCUGAGAGCGCGGCGUGCGACGGCCAUCCUGGCCGUCGUCCUGGCGGCGGCCGCGGUCGUCACUCCGGCCACGGCCCAGCAGUGCGGCUCGCAAGCCGGCGGCGCCAAGUGCGCCGACUGCCUGUGCUGCAGCCAGUUCGGGUUCUGCGGCAGCACCUCCGAAUACUGCGGCGCCGGCUGCCAGAGCCAGUGCAGCGGCAGCGGCUGCGGCGGCGGCGGGGUGGCGUCCAUCGUGUCCAGGGACCUCUUCGAGCGGUUCCUGCUCCACCGCAACGACGCGGCGUGCCUGGCCCGCGGGUUCUACACCUACGACGCCUUCCUGGCCGCCGCCGGCGCGUUCCCGGCCUUCGGCACCACCGGAGACCUGGACACGCGGAAGCGGGAGGUGGCGGCCUUCUUCGGCCAGACCUCUCACGAGACCACCGGCGGGUGGCCCACCGCGCCCGACGGCCCCUUCUCGUGGGGCUACUGCUUCAAGCAGGAGCAGGGCUCGCCGCCGAGCUACUGCGACCAGAGCGCCGACUGGCCGUGCGCACCCGGCAAGCAGUACUAUGGCCGCGGCCCCAUCCAGCUCACCCAGUAAGCACCCACAAAACCCUCUUCUUCAUGUAGUUCUCUCCUAACUCAAAAUUCCUCAGCUUUAACCAAGUGUACAUGAAAAAUUACCAACAUUUGUGAUAGUACCGUCAGCGUAAUUAGAUAAAGCAUAUUUUCAUAUGAUAUUGUUUGGAUUGGUAAAAACAUAAAAAGUGUAGUGUCUUUGUUGGCCUGUUUGUUUCAUGAUGGAUUGAUUCAGCAACUACAACUACGGACCGGCGGGCCGCGCAAUCGGGGUGGACCUGCUGAACAAUCCGGACCUGGUGGCCACGGACCCGACAGUGGCGUUCAAGACGGCGAUAUGGUUCUGGAUGACGACGCAGUCCAACAAGCCGUCGUGCCAUGACGUGAUCACGGGGCGGUGGACUCCGACGGCCAAGGAUAGCGCGGCCGGACGGGUGCCCGGGUAUGGUGUCAUCACCAACGUCAUCAACGGCGGGAUCGAGUGCGGCAUGGGGCAGAACGACAAGGUGGCCGAUCGGAUCGGGUUCUACAAGCGCUAUUGUGACAUCUUCGGCAUCGGCUACGGGAAUAACCUCGACUGCUACAACCAAUUGUCGUUCAACAUUGGGCUCGCGGCACAGUGAGAUAGUAAGACUAUGGGUCCUCGAUCUAUGCAUGUGUGGAUGUGAUCACGCAUAAAUAAAUAAUCUUGGUGAUUACUUUAUGACCAAAUAAAUGGAUGACCAGACCUCCCACAUGUGUAGUACAUGUAUGUCGAUGCACGGAAAGGAAUCACCUUUAUUAAAAAUAUAUUCUAGUUUAUGCAGAAAUAUCUGCAAAUAUAUAUGUCGCCUACGGUCCAUACUUGCUUGUCUUGGUGGACUGAUCUUUCAUACCCCUACGUCCCAAACUUAUUUGGGACGGAGCGGACAGAGUACUCCAGUAAUUUUGAUAAUAAAGUGACGGGCGUUUAGAGCAGAAAUGGCUUUACGCGGGGGGAGUCGCCACGGAAUUUCUGAGGUAGAAUCGCGUUGUUUCCCUCCUUUUUUUGUUUACGGAAUUUCUGCUCGGUGAUAGGGGGUGUGUUGGGGCUAGUUCGUUUGCUGCGUUGGAGUUUUCAUGGGUGCAGGUAGGAGGAGAGGUGAUCAUGCGUGCAUAGAGGAAGGUAUUCCUUCGCGAACUAGUGGGCAGAUCCUUGUUGUGUGCAUUUUGUGUUAAUUCAACUCGAUUUUUUCUGUGUAUUAUUGAAGUCAGGCUAACUAUUACUCCAACGCUCUUAUAUUUCUUUAGGAGGGAGUACAAAUCAUCAGCAUUUCGCCCCCAUACAUCCGAAGUUCUUCAAAAGACUUAGCCCCUUUAACAAUCAUCAAGAGCAUGCGCAGGUAGUACAGUUCACCACUCAUAGCAUGUACAUAGUAAUCCCGCCCCCUUUCAUGCCAUGAUUUACUUUUAGCAUCCCAUGUCCACCCAAUCAGAAAAUCACAGUACGUAAAUGACCGACCAUGCUCAUAGAAUUCAUUGGCAACAAAACAUUUAGUGACCAUAGUUUUUUUCAAGAAGUCAGAACCAGCAAUUUUUGUAAUGUCAGCACCAGCACGAUAUCGAACAAUAUUCAUGCCAGGCAUAUGAACAGUUAAUCUUUCUACAGAGGGAAUUUUAAAGUGUAACGACACAAUCAAAUACUCUUUUACUUUAUCAAUUGAAAGAUAGCCGGUUACACAUCGAAUACUCUCCGAGCCAACCAGCAGCUGACACGCGAAGGGCCGACACAGGAAAUCCCCACACUGCCCUUGGCGGGCUCUCAAAACUACAGGCGGAGCCACCGCACGAUCCAGCGCUGAAGUCACACACCGCGGCUGGCCGCACACACGACGCCGACAAGAGGGCCCCACCAGGCAUCGAGCCCAUGCGACAGAGAGACACGACCUAAUGGGCGACAUGAGAAAAAGGAACGUAAUGUAGAGCAGGUACAAGUAAAAUUUUAUCCAACAGCCCAGCUCAUCCCAGAGCAGAUCAAACGACUCAGAUCGCAUCAAGUUCGAGAUCUGACGGUCCAAAUGGCCUGAGCUCCGAGAGAGCCCAUGUUUAGACAUGAAUCUAACUAUGGGAUACCCACCACCAGUGGCGGAGCUACGGGGGAGGGGGGCACUGNNNNNNNNNNNNNNNNNNNNNNNNNNNNNNNNNNNNNNNNNNNNNNNNNNNNNNNNNNNNNNNNNNNNNNNNNNNNNNNNNNNNNNNNNNNNNNNNNNNNNNNNNNNNNNNNNNNNNNNNNNNNNNNNNNNNNNNNNNNNNNNNNNNNNNNNNNNNNNNNNNNNNNNNNNNNNNNNNNNNNNNNNNNNNNNNNNNNNNNNNNNNNNNNNNNNNNNNNNNNNNNNNNNNNNNNNNNNNNNNNNNNNNNNNNNNNNNNNNNNNNNNNNNNUAAUUUCUGAAGAAUUUUUUUAGAGAAACUUAGAUUAAAUGUUUUUUUUUAACAUUUUGUGACCCCCUGUCCCCAGAGCACGCCGAGAGCACGAGCACCAGUUCACCAUCCGUGCAGAUGGAGGGCGGAGGCGCCGCAUCAGCUGAGGCGCAGAAGGGCGCGCCGGUUCCUGUCAGCCGCCGCCAAAGGCCUUUUGGCCGGCGCGGUUGACACGCCACCGGGAGAUGGACUACGCCAGCAUCGCCCGCUGAGCAUUCACCGUCGUCGUCAACGUCCUGGUCGACGAGCUCCUCGCCAGCCCACCGGACGCCACGGCGGGCGAAAGGACGCUGAACUACAUGCUCGAGGCGGCGGCGUUCAUCGGCGCAUGGUCACCUCAAACCCUUCUCUAUGUGAAUCUCAAUUAUAUAGACAAUGGAUGGUGGAAAACCAACUAAACUGGCGAUGUGGGCACCGAAAAAGGCUUCAGUAGCAGCCACUCAAGCAGACCCCUUAUAACACGGACUCUUUUAUCGUGUUUACAGUUUCCGGCAAAACGCGUUUUGCGGGUUUUGGCCGACCCUGCAUAACGGAACUGUAAAAAGUAGAAUUUUUGGCAUGCCAACAAAACUCGAUGACGCGACACUGAGACAAAACAUCUUCAGACUCAAACUCUCCUCUUUUUCUUCAGAAUUCGACUACGCGCAGAUAGAUGAAACGCAAAAGCUUCUUCAAGCGCGAAGCUUUCAGUGCUCAGUAGUUAAGUAAUAGCGGCUUUCAGUGCUCAGAUCUCACCGUAAAUUUGAAACGCUGUGUUUGAAAUCUCACAGAGGAAGAAUUCUCCCUUUCUUCAGAAAGGGAGAAGAUUUCGUCGCUGCCACUUCUUCGUGCAGAAAUAUACGCUCACGUACAGCAAAGAAACUUUCUUCGGACUAACACUCUGAAUUUGAUUAAUUAUCUCCGAAUUUUAUCAGAGGCAGUUUCAGUUCUAAAGCAUCAGAAAAGAAGGCAAAACAUUUGCAGACUUUUAAACUCCUGUUUUUCCUUCAGAAUUCGACCACAGGGGACGAACUCCCUCCGUUCUCACAUCUCAUACAUCCCCAAAACACACAAAGUGACACUGAUAUUUGACCCGAGAAUGAAACAAGAACGACACUGACACUCCAGCUAGACACGCAGCGACCAACAACCACUAGAACUCACUCACCCAUGGACAGACACGACACUGCUCAUCUUCUUCUCCUGGUUGCAAGGAAAUGAGACUCUUCUUCAAUCUUCAGUCGACCUCCUCCAUCUUGCUCUCCUCGGCGCCCUCCUCCUCCAGCGCGGGCAUGUCGGCAUCCUCCUCCUCGGCAUCCUGAUCAUCGAUGUUGAGGCCGAGCUUGAGCAUGCGGUGGAUCCUGGCGGCGAAGGUGUUGGGGUCGUCGAGGCUGAAGCCGGAGGUGAGCAGCGCCGUCUCGAAGAGCAGCAUCACGAGGUCCUUGACGGACUUGUCGUUCUUGUCGGCGUCGGCGCGCUUGCGGAGCUCCUCCAUGAUGCCGUUCUCCGGGUUGAUCUCCAUCGUCUUCUUGGAGGACAUGUAUGCGCCCAUGCUGCUGUCCCUCAGCGCCUGCGCCUUCAUGAUCCGCUCCAUGUUGGCCGUCCACCCGUACUCGCCGGUCACCAGGCAGCACGGCGAGUCCACGAUGCGGUCGGAUACGACCACCUUCUCCACCUUGUCGCCCAGGAUGUCCUUGAUGAUCUUGCAGAGGCCCUCGAACGCCGCCUUUUUUUCUUCCUUGCGCUUCUUCUCCUCCUCGGUCUCCUCGUCGAGCUUGAGGCCCUCCUUGGUGGCGGAGACGAGCUUCUUGCCGUCGUACUCCUUGAGCUGCCCCACGGCGUACUCGUCGAUGGCGUCCACCAUGAAGAGCACCUCGUAGCCGCGCUUCUUGAGGCGCUCCAGGAAGGGCGAGUUCUCCACGGCCUUGCGGCUCUCGCCGGUGAUGUAGUAGAUGUCCUUCUGGCCCUCCUUCAUCCGGGUGACGUAGUCCUUGAGGCUGGUGAGCUCGUCGCCGCUCUUGGUCGAGUGAUACCGGAGCAGGUCGGCGAGCUUGGCUCGGUUCUGGGAGUCCUCGUGCACGCCCAGCUUGAGGUUCUUGGAGAAUGCCUCGUAGAACUUGGCGUAGUCCUCCUUGUUCUCGGCGAUCUCGAAGAAGAGCUCGAUGCACUUCUUGACGAGGUUCUUGCGGAUGACCUUGAGGAUCUUGUUCUGCUGCAGCGUCUCGCGGGAGAUGUUGAGGGGGAGGUCGUCCGAGUCGACGACGCCCUUGACGAAGCCCAGCCACUCCGGGAUGAGCUCCUCGCAGUUGUCCAUGAUGAAGACGCGGCGCACGUAGAGCUUGAUGUUGUUCAUCUUCUUGCGGGUGUCGAAGAGGUCGAAGGGGGCGCGGCGGGGCACGAAGAGCACCGCCUUGAACUCCAGCUGCCCCUCCACCGAGAAGUGCUUCACGGCGAGGUGGUCCUCCCAGUCGUUGGUGAUGCUCUUGUAGAAGGACGCGUACUCCUCCUUGCUGAUCUCCUCCGGCUUGCGCAGCCAGAUGGGCUUCUGCUUGUUGAUCUGCGCCCACUCGUGGCUCACCUCCUUCACCUUCUUCGUCUUCUUCUUGCUCUCGUCCUUGUCCUUGUCAUCGUCGACCUCCUCGACCUCGCCUUCCUUCUUCUCCUCGGAAGCGUCUUCGUCUUCGUCGUCGCUGAUCUCCUUCUCGGUGGUCUUCUCGGUCCAGAGGUAGAUGGGGUAGCUGAUGAACUCCGAGUGCUUCUUGACGAGGUCCUUGAGGCGGCGCUCCUCGAGGUACUCGAGCUGGUCGUCCUUGAGGAAGAGCGUGAUCUUGGUGCCGCGGCCGAGCCGCUCGCCCUCCGUGUCGAGGGUGACGGUGAAGGAGCCGCCGGCCUGCGACUCCCACACGUACUGCUCGUC
Molecule: long non-coding RNA, 73351 nt
Filed under: Triticum aestivum (bread wheat)
Lineage: Eukaryota; Viridiplantae; Streptophyta; Magnoliopsida; Poales; Poaceae
Description: long non-coding RNA (TAES_LNC019981)
Source: RNAcentral